CAGGUACAAGUUAAUCCAUACAUUUAUUACUUUUCAUUAAUCAUGCAUUAUGUUUUCUAGCUGCAUCACUUUAGUUUUGCUUCUAUCUUAGUAGUGGGAAUUAGAUUCCCCUGUCUUGGCAGCAACUUCUAUUUUUCUUCUUUGUUUCAACCAUGUAGUUCUAUGGUGGUGACCUUCGAAAUAUAAGAUAAAGAACCAAAAUGACAUACUUCCUUGCGUUAGCAUUGUAAUAUCUUGCAUAUGCAGUCAUGUAGACUCCACAUAGUGCAGGUAUUCACAUUUUUUUUGUUAAAGCAAUUCAAAUUUGGACAUUGUAUUACACCCCUCCUUUUUUAAAAAAGAACUUGAGAUCUGUAGGUUCGAUUGGAUCUGUAAUUGGCUGUAAUGUAGGCAAUAUGAAAUGGCGAAUUAGUAAUUAAUUUAAAUUCACAAACUAAGGAAACCAUAAUAAGUAUGUUUAUUACUAUUCUUUUUAGAGUAAAAUAAAAAAAAGGUCUUUGAAGUUAUUCUGUAUGAUGUUGUCUGAUCCCCAAACUCUCAAAAUGCUUGCAUUGUGAGGUUAGAGAAAUUGUCCUUGUAUGGAAUGUAAGUCCCAAGCCCUUAUAAUGCUACUUUCAUCCACAGGACUUGUCACGUGCUGUCAUCCAGUUCUAAAUGAGCCCUAACACACUAUACACCCAUAUGUGGCAUGUCACAAUUGAUCCAUUUGUGGUUCAGUAUUGAUGAGUAGUCUAACGCGAGGUUAUGUAUAUCACACAUAUUGGGCUGCUGCACUAUAUCCGAGUGAAGAGAGUGGGAGAGGGGGAUAUCGAGAUGGUGGUCCAAAGGUCAACAUAUAUGUGUGGUGCCCAUAGAUAGAAUCCAAUAGUAUAGAUAUUAUGAGACAUAUAGGUAGCAUUUGGUUGGGAGAUAAGGUCGGAUGGAAGAAUGAUCUUGUCUCUGGUUUGAGGGAUGCAGUGACCCUAUUUUCUUUUUGGUUGGAAAGCGAUGGGAACAAUUUGUUUUCUAUUUGGUCUUAGAUAUAAUAAGUCAAAUCAUGUGGGGCCCAUUUGGCAGUUUUAAUUCUCUUUUUCUUCCUCCUCUCCUUACCUCGUUCCUGAACUGUAGCCACCCAAAGGACUCGCAAGUGCGACGCCCUCUGCCUCCUCCUGUUGAGUCGGCCAUGGAUUAUGCCACUAGCUUCAUGUGUAGCCACCCAAAGGACUCGCACACGGUGGCUGCUCAAAGGUUGCACGACGGCGGCCUCUGAGCUCACAUGUGGAGGCUCCUUGUAUCUCGGCACAGUGGUGGCCCCCCAAGGUCACGCAAGACGGCAAUCUCCCGAGCUCGCGCGAUGGUGGCCCCCUGUGCUCCUCGUCUUCAUUGACCUCCCCUAUGUGCACCUCCUCUUAUCUUCUUCCUCACCAGCGAGCGGGCUUGUCCCACCUUAGGCGACCCCCUGUUCGUCAAAUUUCUGCACAAGCACGCAUGUGAGCAACUGUCGUGGUCGUGUAGCCACCAUGCUUGCGCAGACAAAUAGAAUUGGGGUACUUAAAUAGUUUAAGGAUCUAAAUGUACAGUUUUAUAUUUAGUGAUCUGAUAGAAGAUGCAGUAGUUUAGAGACUAUGGGUGUAACUUGAUCUAUGACAAUGGUUGGAAUCGCUUCCAAUCGCCUCCCAUCGCCUCCGCUAAAAACUUUUUUGUUGAUUUAAUUUGUGGAAGGGUAAUAACAUCAUUGUACAAGGUUCUCUCAAACCCCAACCCCUAUUAUCGGCAGCUACGGCUCCCUGUAACACGCAUUGAUGGACGCAGACGGGUGGAACUCAAAGAAGAUUAAAAAAAACUUAAGAAGAAGAUUUUUAUCUAACUAGCUAUAGUACUUGAAUCAUAUAUCCUAUCUAUGUUACUCAAAAUAUUACUUCAAACUAAGAAAGACAAUACAGCUUAGAAUAUUAAUUAUUUUAUAACAAAUUUUGAAACUAAACCAACCGCAUUUCUUGGGAGUAGACUAUACAGCUUUCAACCGUUUAUUUGUAUUGGAAUGCACGAGGAUAUUACAUGCUGAGUUAUUAGUGUAGUGUACUGGCACAGUAGCGUAUAUAUGGAUGUGUGUCACUUGUAAAGGAAACAAUUAUUUCUAAUAUUUUUGCGUGGCCAUACGUACGUUAGUGCGCACCUUGUAAUGAGCAUUCUUCCUUAAUGUUGAGUUUUGUUUGCACGAGCACUGUAGCUUUAUUACACAGAAUUUCUAUCGACUAGUGCAUCAACCCAUGUUCUGGCAUGGGCUUGAAUUUUAUGAGAUAUAAGUAUUAAGUAUUGUUCUGCUCAUUUCAAAUUAUAAACCAUUUUGGCUAUUAAAGAUAUAUUAUUUUUUAUUCUACCUGAUCAGUAUAUCUAAGUGUAUAAAAGGAACUAUAUACUUUCGAAACAUGUUAUAACUUGAAAUGCGCGGAGUAGAUCUGAAUAAUAAUGAAAUACUCAUAAAUUAUAUGUUUUUCUCUUUGUCUAAUCUUUAACAUAAUAGACAUGAUAGAUACUCUAUAGUCUAUAUCUAGUUAUCAUAAACUUAUUAGUUACUAUUUUUUCAACAAACUAAUCUAUGUAUUUUUAUCUAUAUUACAUUAAAUAUGCAAUUACUUUGAAACCUUACCAUUAAUCACGGUGGCUCUUGUUUUGUUAUGUAUCAAAUUUUUUAUUUUCAAAUUUUAUUCUUAUUGACUGCGACAGAUUUAUUUUUUCUCUCCUUAAGUUAAGUUGAACCCCUUAUAUAUGCUUAUUGUAUCUUUCAUUAACUAUUCUUUUUGUAUUUUUGAAAUAAGAAUUUUAGGACAUAGUUUACAUUCUUAGGAACACAAUAGCAUAAGACAUCAUUUGAAACAUGCACCAUAUUGCUUAAGAUAAGCCACAGAGCUUGAAGUGAGAUCACAAACAGGAUAUAGUGCUAACCUCAAGAGAAUUUUAAUACCUAAAUCUUAUAAUGAUUGACUGAUUGACUUUUUACUCUAAACUAUUCUUAAAAGGUUAGGAAAAUAUAGCCACUAGUGGUCUACCACACUUCUCGAGAUGAUUGAGUUUUCCUAUCAAGGAAUUAUGUUUACAAAUAUGGUUAUAGUAGACAUGUCAAACAUUUUAGUUAAAGUACGUAAAUAUAUCUAAAGUAACAAUCUAUAUCAAUUAUAUGUUAUGGUUACUAAUAUGGCUUGAAAUUUUUUUAUAUUGAUAAGGAAAUAACUUUUUUUGUGAUUAAACAUAACAUAUUUAUUCUAUUGCUCAUGCAUGAUGGCAUUACGUGUAUAUUUACUUUAAUCAAAUCUUACUAUACGUAUUUUAUGAGAAUUUCUAGGAUCUAUCUUUUGUUUUCCUGUCAAGUCUUGUGACGAUUAACAUGCAAGCUAUAGAAGAAACGUCUUGUUAGAAUUUAUAGUAUUUAUCUUUUUUUUUUCUAGUGUGAUUUGUAUUUAGUUGAAAACUAAACUUAAGAUAUAUGAACUCUUGAUACAACUCUUUUUUGACAUUGCAAAUCUACAUUUAUCUUUUAACUUUUAAUUAAAUUGUUGCAAUUUCUUCAAAUGUUAAUUAGAAAUUCUGGUAUUCUUUAUAUUUUAUUCAAAAAACAUUUUUUAUUAUAACGAGUAUAGGUUUCCACAUAUGCUAAAAUUUGGCUUGCAUUGUGACACUAAACAUGUUCAAUUUAUUAUGUCAUACGAUUAUAUGUGUUGUAUUAUUUAUAUAUCAUAGAGUGAAUAUUGAUAUGACAUAAUGUUUCAGUAAAAACAUAUAUACUUGUUUAAAAUGAUAAUUAUUGAAUUUAUUAUCACGAAGUAUAGAUAUAAAGUGUUAUUGCAACAUCGUUUGCUAUGUGAACAUUUUCCAUGUUUCAUAACUUUUAAAAUAAAUGUUAUCCAAAUUUAUACAUGUUUAUUUGAUAUACAUGGUGCAACAUUGCAUUUAGUUAUUUUAUUUCACGAUUAUUGAAUUAUGAAACUUAGAAAUAUAUACAUGUACCAUACUUUUUGUUAAUAUUGAUAUUUUUAAUAUUAUAUAUUACUAUUUACACGUCAAUUUUAGAUAUGUUUUGUUUAUCUUCAAUUAUGGCUAAGGUACAUACAAAUAUAAAGUUAAUGCCUUGCAUUAUAUUUCACAAAGACAUAAAUGGAUAGGUUCAACACGAACAUAUAAUAUUAAUUUGCAUUAUUUUUCAUAAUGAUAAAGGUGGAGAAUUUAUAAUUAGGAGGCAUUUUAAAUUAUGUUCCAUAAGCGUAUAUUGGGUAGUUUAGGUACAAAGUUAGAAUAUUAUUUUGUAUUAUCUUUCACAAUGACAAAAGCAAGGUAAUUUAGACACAAUUUUAGGGGUUUAUUUAAAUUAUGUUUCAUAAUCGCCAAGGUGGGUAAUUUGGAUGAAAAAUCAGGGAGUGAUUUUGAAUUAUUUUUUAUGAUGACAUACAUGGGUAAUUUAUAUACAAAUAUAGAGGGUUAUUUUGAAUUAUCUUUUGUAAUGUCACAAUUGGGUAAAUUAAAUGCAAAAUUAGGGGUUACUUUAUUGUAUUUUCAUAAUGGCAGUAGUGGGUAAUGUUUUAUAAACUAUAAUAGAUGCAAUGGCUAUUAUCACUGACGAUAUUAGAGUUUAUCAAAUGAAAGGCUAGUUGUUUUUGAUUAUUGUCAUAAUUUGGAGGAUUUUGUUGUGUCUCUGUUGGGGUCUCUAAUUAGAAUUUAUAGGAUUUAUCUUUUUUUCUAGUGUCUGGUGAGAAUUAACGUGGUAUCUCUGUUGGGGCUUGUAAUAAUAAGAUUGGUCACAGCAGGCAGUGAAUCAUUCAGGCGGGUUCAGAGUUUAUUAGCUGAGAAUAUGUCGUGCAGAAUAAUAGUGCUGAUUUUGCUUCAGAUUAGGAAUCUCCGUACUUCUAUAGGUCAUAGGAGCAACGAAGGGGAAAUUCGUCAUGAACAUAGCUAUACUUUCUUACUUUUGUAUCCCAAGAAACACUCGUGCUUUUUUCUUUCCUUUUACUUAGGCCUUAUUUAGUUCACUUCAAAAACCAUAAAAUUUUCAAGAUUUCCCAUCACAUCGAAUAUUGCGGGACGUGCAUAGAGCAUUAAAUAUAAAUGGAAACAAAAACUAAUUGUACAGUUUGCCUUUAAAUUGCGAGACGAAUCUUUUAAUCUUAGUUACUCCAUGAUUGGACAAUGUUUGUCAAAUAAAAACGAAAUUGCUACAGUAUCAAAAUCUAAAAACUUUUUGAAUCUAAACAAUGCCUUAGUUGCAUAUGCAUAAAGUAUAAUAUAAAAAAGGAUGAUAAAAAAUUGUGUGCUAGAGGUCGCAUACGUUUCUUCUUGAUGUGCUUUGCAUUUGUAGCAUAUCACAACACUGCACGGUAAAUUAUUUUUUGUCUAAUUGGCCUGAAAUUCUUGCAGGCUGUCAGAGAUGUGAAUGAUGAGCCGCAGGUUGAAAAUUUAAAGGAUAUUGGCUUGAUACUUGUAAAAAAAUGUGAUGGUUUACCUCUUGGGAUCAAAGUAAUGGGAGGUCUCCUGAGUCGGAAAAGGAUAACACGAACCGACUGGCAAAAGGUCUUAGAUGAUUCUCUAUGGUCAGUAUCACAAAUGCCUCAAGAGCUAAAUUAUGCAGUAUAUCUUAGCUAUGAAGAUCUAGACCCUUGUUUGAAGCCUUGCUUUUUGCACUACUCCCUCCUUCCAAGGGGCAGAUUGUUUUAUGAUUAUGACAUUGUUGCCAUGUGGAUUAGUGAAGGAUUUGUUCAUGGAAUUUCACGUGACUUAGAAGACAUAGGAAGGGAAUACUAUGACGAGUUAAUACAGCGGAACCUUAUUGAGCCAGAUAUGAAGUUUAUUGAUCAAAGUGUUUGCAACAUGCAUGAUGUUGUCCGGUCCUUUGCUCAGAACAUGUUCCGAGACGAAGCACUCAUAACUCACAAUAGUAGAAUUGGGAUUGACAAGCUUAAAGCACAAAAGUUUAUUCGGUUAUCUCUCGAAAGCAAACAAUCGGAACAACCUGAUUUGGAGUGGUGUUCUCUACAAACACAAAUGUCACUGAGAACAAUGAUUUUAUUUGGUAAUAUAAAGAUUCAACCAGGUGAUUCAUUUCAUUCUUUUUCAAGUCUCCGAACACUACACUUGGACAGUGUAAAUAUUGUUGCAACACCCAAAUCUUUGUAUCAGCUGAAACAUCUGAGGUAUCUGUCAAUAGGAAAUAGUAAUAUAUCUAAGUUAUCAGAAGACAUUGGCAAGUUGAAAUUCUUGCAGUACAUUAGCCUUUCCGAUUGUCAGAGUUUGACCAAGCUUCCCAGUAGCAUCGGGGUGCUACAAGACUUGAGAUUUCUCAGUCUUCUCAGAACAAAUAUAAGUGUUGUACCAAGGGAGUUUUGUGGUCUAACUUCUUUGAGGAAAUUAUACGGAUUUCCAGCCCACAUGGACUGUGAUCACUGUAGUUUGGAGGAACUAGGGUCUCUCUCCCAGCUAACUGAACUUGAUAUCAGUUUCUUGGAGAAUGUAGCUUCUUCCUCAUCUGCUAUAGAGGCCAAACUUGGUGGAAAGAAGCGCCUAAGGUAUCUCUCACUUCAUUGCACCAGUAGACUUGGAGAUGAUGGCCUAUUGGUAAAAAAGGAAGAAGGGAUCUCUGAGAAAGCGAAGAGACAAAUCGAGGAGGUCUUUGAUGAGCUCUGCCCUCCGCAUGGCUUAGAACACCUUUCAGUCAACGGGUAUUUUGGUGAGCGGCUCCCAGGUUGGAUGAUGCCAGCAGCAGCAUAUAUGCCGCUUAGGAGCUUGAGGACUCUAAUGAUGGAUGACUUGGCCUGCUGCACGGAGCUUCCUAGUGGCAUGAGUCAGCUACCCUGCUUGGAGCUUCUGCAGAUUGUUCGUGCCCCGGCCAUCAAGUGUGUUCGCCUUGAAUGCCUACAACCAAACAAUCAAGUAGGUGUUGCGUUUCCCAGUCUACAGAAGCUGCGUUUUGUGGGAAUGUUCGAAUGGGAGGAAUGGGUGUGGGAGGAACAAGUGAAAGGCAUGCCUAUCUUGGAGUUGCUUAAACUGAAAAUGUGCAAGUUGAGGCGUGUGCCACCAGGCCUGGCCUUCCACGCAAGGGCUUUGAAGAAUUUAUAUAUAUAUGAUGUGAAGCAUCUAAGCUCUUUGGAGAACUUUGCUUCUGUGGUCCACCUCGAUGUGUUUAGAAACACUCACCUGGAGAGGAUCAGUAAUCUACCAAAACUGCAGAAGCUUGUCAUUCUCAUGUGCCCAAAGCUGAAGGUAGUGGAUGGCAUGCCUGCACUCCAGAGACUCGAACUGGGGGAUUAUGACAUGGAAACAGUCCCUAGGUAUCUGCAGGAUGUAAACCCAAGACAUUUGCUGCUGGAUUGUUCCUUAUCGCUGCUCACGUGUAUAGCAGCAGGAAAAUCUGGUCCUGAAUGGGAUAAGUUUCGCCAUAUCCAGCAAGUCAAAGCCUAUGCAAAUGAAGAAGGCUGUCCAAGGAAGUGGUAUGUGCUCUACACAAGGAACCCUUACCGCUUCGAGACAAAUAUCAGCCGCUCUGCUAUUGCCCAAGGUAAAUUAACACAGCCGCCUUCCAAUGUAAUUUAUUUUUUGGCACUCUGUUUUCCUCGGUUUCCUUCAAUCAGUUCAAUUCAUCUUCUGCAGCUCACGGACGCCGCAUAUGGCUUGCUUACUCGGAAACAUGUCCCAUUGAAGAUGAGUGGCCCACAGGAGGACACACGUAUGUAGAAAAACGUAUGCCCCUCUGCGUACGCUUCAGGUAAAAAAGUUGGCUACACGUUGAUUGCUUCCCUCUGUUUCAGUAAUUGUGCAUGCUUACACCUCCUUGACACGUGAUUAAUUGAACAUGGCAAGUUCUUUACCAUUUCAUUUCGUCCGUGCAACGUAUUUUUGCAACAUGUGCAGGUGCAACGCCUAUCGCCACUUGAAUGGCUGGUUUGAUGAAGCGUGCCUGCACUGCCAUGAAGCCGACAACAUCGCUUCCCCAUCUGAUCAGUGGACCCAAGGAGAAGUGCUUUCAGCCCGUAUAAAGACUGUUUGGGCAUGAGUGGAGGAAACGUCUUUAGUUUAGUGUGAGUAUGUGCAUCUUGGCUAUUCCUUGAUCUGCUUCUGUACCUUGUGUAUAAGAUCCUCAGCUUGUGUAUGUUCAUUUUACUGCUUUUUAGGGGCUUGUGUUCGAUCUUAUACUGUAACAUCUAGAAUACGUUUAUUGCGUUAGAAGUGUAAAGUGGUAUAAUAAUAAUAAUUGUAAUUUUAUCCAUCACUCAAAUGAAUGAUCAGAGAUUUUAGAUGCGUAGAGCUCGUCGAAUGCUUUCAGUUGCACUACUCAUAUGUAUUGUUUGGAAUUUGGAUCAUGGAGAUAUAAAUUUCAGAAGUUUUAAGAAAGAAAAAAUAAACAGGACCUUUUACUGUAGUGUGACGCGUGGUGGCCUUUUAUAUCCGCUCCAAGGCCUUUAGGUUCCAUCCAUAGCUUUUCAUAUUCAGGAUAAAAAAAAGAGGAGAGGGGAGAAAAGAGAAAGGAGAAGGGAGAAGGGGAGGAUAGGGCCUAGGGUUUUGCCGCCGUCGUAGCCGCCGCCGCCGCUGUCGGUCAUCCGUGGUGGUCGUUCUUCCUUCCGUGGAAAAUACGGUUUGGUUCUACCUUGUAUCUUGGCUGUUCCAUUGAUCUACCAUGUCCCUUUUACUGUCCAUGAGGGCUUAGCCAUGUUUGGCGUAGAUCGGAAUAACAAGGCUUUUAUGGCGGCAAGGAUCGUGGCGAGUUGGAUCGGAGAUAAUGGAAAGGUGAAGAGGCGGAGAAGAAGGAGUAGACGCCAGGAGUUUCGGCGUCGUGCUCGCUGUGGUUCUCUAGGUGAGAAGCCAAAUAUUAAUCCCCUUCAUCUGAUCAAGUUUUGCGGAUUAAAUCGCUUAUUUGGGAUUGGGUUUAGUGGAGAAAUUCUUGAAGUCAUUUUCGUUCAUGUCCUGAAAUUCUCGUCAGACUGAGCAGUCACUGUUCAUCGUAAUGUUAGGGCAUUUUAGAGGCUUUAAUAAUUUUUGAGCCUGUGGACAAAGUUGUAGAGGACUUCAAUAUCUUUCUUUAGACGCCAAGAACUCUGUCAGAGCAGUUAUAAUUUGUGAGAUAUCGAGUUUUCAAUCUGACUGUUUUCCAGUGACGAAAAUCUGGACAGUUUUGGAUCUAAACAGUUUUUGACCCUGUUAAUGAAAUAAUUAGGUCUUUGAUUAUUAACAAAUGUUUUAGGAUUUUUGUUAAGCUUUCUAUAUUGGUAAAGUUUGUAACUUUUGAAUAAGUAUAUCACCAGUUAUGAAUUUUUGAAGUUUGAUGUUCUGUUUUGAAGGUCAGAAAUAUUCAGUUGUGUUCUAUGGUUAAUUAUACCAUCUUGCAGAUCUCUGAUGCAAAACCUUACAAUACAAAAGUUGUAUAUAACAGAGUUUUACAUGAUCUGAUAAAUUAUGGUAAUUUUUGGAUGAGUAUUCUGAAGUAUAUGAAAAAGAGAAGAGUCGGUGCUGCUGUCUUGAUCGGUAGCGCAAACGGUAGAGGCUUGAAUGUCGGGUUUGGGGCGCAUUAGUGCGUAUUUGUUCUUACUCUUGCUUGUAUGUUGGUGUAUGUACUGAGUAGUAUUUGUGAUCAGGUGGUAGCACUUCGGAACAUCGCUAGUGUUUUUGUUCUCCUUCGGUAAAGAGGCAAGUGAAUGUAGCGGUGGUUUGCUACCGUUUUGGCUUGUUAUUUUUAUCACCUACAGUUUAUUGUCUAUAAGAAUGUCAUCCCUCUCAUAUCUAAAAUUUAUGAUUUUGGUAUAUUUAGUCUUAGUUAAAUUGUGGUCUUAUUUAAGUAUUUAUGGUGAUGGUAUUAUUUUAUAUUGUUAUUUGUGGCUAGCCCACAAACCUGAAUUUGAAGUCGGAGUAUCAUUGGUGAUUUAUUAAUUUUAUUGCAACAUACCAAGUGCAUUGCAUCAUUCAUUGGCAUUGGAAGUUAUGUCUUGACCUAUGGUCAUGACUGUACCGGUAUGCAUCAUGGGAUGCAGCUCCACACCUUAUUGGGUGUGCAGGCAGGAGACAUAUGCAUUGCAUUCAUAUGCAUUCAUGAGAAGUAUGUUAUUGAAGAGAUUUUAUCCACGUUAUUAUGAAGCUCUGUAUUAUUGGCUAUGUUCCAAAUUGGAAGACUGUUACUUUUAGUAUGAUAUUAUGUCAAUUGAGAACAUCAUAUUAAAUUGAUGUUAAUUCAAAUUGUGGUUUCAAUAGCUUGUCAAAACAAGUUCGCUUGCUGAGAUGUUUCGUCUCACCCUUGCUUUACUCAAUCCAGGUACUUGAUGCUUACUUGGAAGGGAAGAGACUUAGCUGCACGUCACACACGUAUUCAUUUAGAGACCUUGUGUUUUAAUAAAUAAUAAUUUGGUUUGCUUAUUGGUUUUGAAGGCGGUUGUUAAAGUGUGGGUGUUAAACUUAAUUCUUGUUGAAGUAACUUAUUUGCGUUAGGAUGUUCAUUAAUCCUAGUUUGGUAUUUUAGUAAUUUUUUUUUAUAUUUUAUUCUUCCGCUUGCUAUAAAUACAAAGAAGAUACUGUCAAAUUGUUUAUGGUUGUGUGCAGCUGUUGUUUGUGUAGUCUAGUAGCAUCCCGGUGUAUUUGUGGUUUUCGGGGUGUUACAUAUACAGUAUGGACACAUGCCACAUUGCAGAAAUAAAUGUUCUAUCUGCUACUGAACAUGUACACAGAUUGCAAAAUUAUAUGUUCUGUAAUUUCACUAUUUUAUCAGGCUUACGAUAGUGAAUGGUAAACUGGUUGUGAUGUCAUCAAUGGACUCAUGGCACACUGCAAAUACAUAUGUGUUACAUUUCUUAUGAACUUUUAUGUUUUUUUAUUCUGGAUUGGAGCAUGCUCGCACUCCAAAUCCUCCAAUAGCCCUUUGCUCAGUGGAGACAAAUCUAUAACCAGGUGUGCCCGGAGGAUAUCCCAGCUGCCCGUAACCAAAUUCCUCCAAUUACUAGUUUCCUGGGCUCCCUGGAAAUACCAGAAUAUUGUGGUGUCCAACCACCUCCUGCUGUCAAUGAGAAAGCUGGCACCUUCGAUAUCACUCUUGCGAUCUUGGCGAGCAGGUCACUGACAUCUUGGUGGGCACCAUUAGUUUUUGUUUUUAUUUAAAUUUAAUGCUAUAUACAUGUACCGUAAGAUUCGAUAUGACGAAAAAUCUUAAAAAAAUACAAAUUUUUUUUGGGAAGCCCUAGGCACCCCAAACCAGGUGAGGUCACACGGGCCUAUGCGAGAUCCGGCGUGCCAGCAAACUGGCUCCUAACAGAGUGUUCGAUGACAGAAUAAUUCCCAUCCCCGCCAAUACCAGUCCUAUCCAUGAAAAGGCGAAGAAGGCCCACGUCGGCAUGCUCUGUCGCUAGUCCCCACUAGCGCCUUCUGCGGGUCCCGUCACCAGUCCUCGCUGAUCGGUCUCUCAUCUUCUCCACCGGGACCCCUCGCCGCCGUCUCCUCUGCCUCUCAUCUUCUGCAACAACGGGUAGGCAAAGAGGUGGCAUGUGUGGCUCGCCGGCCGUUGAGCCGAGGCAGAGCGCGCGUCUCGGCAUCAAAGACAAAGGAUGCACGGGAGUCAAUUGGAAGUCGAUGCAGGAGGAGCGUAGGAGAGAGAAGGCACUGUGCUAUAUGUUUUUUUUUUGUUAUUUAUGGUGCAUUGUUGGUGAGCGUGAUGAGUCCUAUCCUACAAUGAGACUUAUGAGCAGUUUGGGAGUGUACCCAAACUAAUUUUGGGUUGGGUUGAAGUGAACCCAUCACGCCUUUGGGUAGAAGGACAGGGUUAUCCCAUAUUUUUUAUUUGGUUGGAGAUAAACUGUGUCGGGGUUUGGAUUCAUGACACGUGGGUCCUGCAUGUCAGCCUUCUAUCAAUUCUUCUCCCAUGGGUCAUCCUUUGAUCGUCCCUGACACCGCCGCUCUCUGCUCCCACACUAUCGUGGCCCUCUACAACCAAUGCAUCUCGCUCGCGCAGCUCUCUUGGCUUGCCUGCGCAUGGGCACAAUUGCCACGUCUGGCCAUAGAAGAGACCGUGUUCCGACUAUCGGAUCCCUACGUCCAGCAAUGGUUGUUGUUUAUAUUCAAUUCGAGAGCACCCAAAUCAGGGGUUACAAUGAAAGAGAGUGAAUCGACACGAGAUCACUCGGUGCUAUCAAGCCUCGUUGGUGGCGAGGAAGAAGAAAUGUUCCCCUCUCUCACUGGAUUGCUAACCAUGCCUACAAAAAGGAUGGAUACAAAACUCCCCGAUUUCUAGGAAGCCCCUACAAUCGAUUUUCAAGCCGCCUCUACAAAUCAAUUUUCAGAAAUCAUGCGAUUUUAGGCUAAAAAAUAGGAACAAAAAGUGGCACCAUUGGUCCACCAACCCUUCCCCUCACACAUAUCUUCCUCUACCACUGCACCCUACACUCAAUGUGUCUAUAACCUAUUUUUGGCUUGCAGCAUAAGCCACAAUAUUUUUUGUACACUUUGUGGCCGACGGGAUUUGAACCCAUGACCUUCCCCUCACAUGUAUCCUCUUCUACCACUACACCUCACACUUAAUCUGUCUAUAAUCCAUUUUUGCACACUUCGUGGCCGAUGAAAUUCGAACCCAUGACAACCCUCCCCCCGCCUAGCACGUAUCCUCCUGUAUCACCUCACACUCAAUGUUUUUAUAAUCCAUUUUUGCUUCCCAAAAUAUUAUACCGAGCAUAAAUUGAUUGUCUGAGGCCCUAAACGAUUUCAUAUGAACAAGUUAUCAACUAUAAAGUUUCAUAACUUUUUUAUAUCUAUAACUUUCAUGUUGGUAAUUUUUCCAUCUGAGAUCGUUUCAAAAAUUUGAAUUUAAAAUUUACAAGAUUCAAACGUAAUUUUUCAUGAUAAGAUGAUAGCAAAUGAAAAAGCUAUCAACUAGAAAGUUUCAUAACUUUUCGAAAUCUACAACUUUCAAUUUUGCUAUUUGUCCAUCCGCGAUCGUUUAAAAAAUCAUAAUUUGAAAUUUUGAAAAUUUAAGCAUAGUUUUCUUGACAACAUGAUUUCGAUAACAAGUUAGUCAUCACCGAGUUCAUAUGAAGCCAACGGUCUGGCUUCCACGAUGGAUUUGUGGACCGAAGCAGACCGGCGUUAGACAUGUAGAUAUUAUGAGACUCGAAAUAGACGUCUUGCUAUUGAUGGAAAUAUCGCCUACCGCUGAAAGCACAACAACAUUAAAUCCCUAAAGUAUUUACUCCCAGGAGUUGAAAGAACUACUAAGGCCUUUGUAAACCACUAGGCUACAGACCUUUGUUUCUGUAAACAUGCAUGCUUACACCUCCUUGACACUAGAUCAAUCGGACAUGGCAAAAACGAGAUAAACUUUUUAUACAGUUUAUUUGUAAAUCGCGAGAUAAACUUUUUAAGUCUAGUUAGUCCAUGAUUGGACAAUAUUUACCAAAUAAAAACGAAAGUGCUACAAAACCAAAAAAAUUUAGGCACUAAACAAGGCCUGACUGUUAGAACACCCAUGGUCACUUGGUUCUGUAGUUUGACGAAGGCUGCCUGCACUGCCGUGAAGGCGACGGCAUCGAUUCCCCAUCAGAUCAGUGGGCAGAAGCAGCAGUGUAUUCUGGGUGUACACAGAUUAUUAUGCAUGCAUUUUGGGAAUUAUCGUUGUUCUGCAUCUGUACCUUGUGCUCGUAGGAGCACAAAACAGAGCUUGUUCUGUUUUCAGACAUUGUUCACUCUGCUUUCUUGAUGCUCCUCAAGUUGCUGUACCCAAGCCAAACUAGCAUACGAAUUAGCGGUCUCAUCCCAGCCAUCAAUCAAAUGCCCAUCGCCCACUUAGCAAGUCUUCCUGUUUGCUACCAACGGGGGCUUCACAUCUACCGUCGGUAUUAUUAUUUCCUCAUUCAAUCUCCUCCGUUAAACAAGUCAAAAUUCCCUUAUAUAUAGCAGCAAAGAAAUGGACGAAUAUUGGUAUCUUUUAUGACGAGAGCUGAUUGUGACAUCCAUCCAUUAUUAUUAUAUUAGCCUGCCGUGGAGCAUGCAUGGACGGACGACGCCACAGUAGACUGAACUGCAACGUCUGUUGAACACAACGUCUGUCUGUUGCAUGAUGAUGCUGAUGAUGGCUCACCCUGUUGAACCGUGGAAGCAAGUUCGGACUGAACUGCAGCAGCAAUUUACAAGCCCGUUUUGAUCGCGUGUGUUGGAAUGGAACCGCUCGUGCCCAGGCUCUGGAUGGAUGGUUUUCGGCUUCCCUGUGUCUCGCUCGCACUGCUACCAUCAUCUCGUGACUCAAACAUCAUGUAUGCCUGGCCUUGUUUAGUUCCUAAAAAAUUUUGCAAAAUUUUUCAGAUUCUCCGUCACAUCAAAUCUUUAGACGCAUACAUGAAGUAUUAAAUAUAGAUGAAAAUAAAACUAAUUGCACAGUUUGGUCGAAAUUGAUGAGAUGAAUCUUUUAAGUCUAGGUAGUACAUAAUUAGAUAAUAUUUGUCAAAUACAAACGAAAGUGUUACUAUUCCAAUUUUGUAAAAAAAUUUGGAACUAAACAAGGCCAACUUUCAUCUACGUUCCAGUGCUAGAUGGCUCCCCACACUAACUUGGCAUAAGUUGGCCAUACAUCAUUACAUUAUUUAAUUUACAGAGGAUAGACAUUGACCAAGGCUAGAGCCUCGCAUAGUCAGGGGUCACCUUCAUCCAACAAACACGCUGAGUCAGAUUUGUCGCGAUCAUUUUGGAAUAUAUAAUCCCAAAGCAUCUGAUUCCACUACUAAAGCUGAUGAUUCUUAUAAUAUAUUUUUUAUGAAAAAAUAAAAAAACGCAGGAAGUGGCCUACAUUGAAUGCACAAAAUAUUGUUUCCACACAGUACAAAGAUAGAUUGCACAAUCGUCUUUGUGCCUGCUUGGAUUCCACCACUAAUCGAACGAAGCUGCCUGGCACUUUCCUUCUCACCUUGCACUGUCACCACACGACCCACUCCAACCACCACCUUCUUCCCUGAAUCAUCACCAUUUUCCUUCCCAGCUUCAAGCAGCCAAACGGAAGACACCAACCAGCUACUGCGAUUCUUGCGGACAACUUGACUCCAUGCAUGUUGCUGCUCAACCUUUCAUCACUAACGGGCAUGCCACAAUCCAGCAGUAGCAUCUGGUUGGUCAGGUCGGCGAUGUCCAUGCUGAUUCCUGCCUAGCCAUUGACCAAUAAUACAUCCUGUUGUUGCAACGCCUCUCCGCUUCCGGCCAUUGCUCAGCUCAUCGGACUCAGGUUUGUUUCCUUAACCGUUACGUUUCUGCAGUGGCUUAUGCUUAGCAAGAUCUGCCCAUAUAGCUACUGCCCCCAGUGACCCACCGGCACGGCACAGUCCAGCAGUAGUAUAAGGUGGGUCAGGUCGAAGAUGUCCAUACUGAUACCUGUCUAACCAUUAACUAAGAUCGAGAUCCUACUCCACGACCAAGCUAGAACGAACAACAGUGGCACUGCCUCACCAAUUCUGGCCAUUGCACAGCUCGUCAACUUGAGGUUUGUUUCCUUAACCGUUACGUUUCUGCAGCUAGUUGUGCACAGAUAGUGCCCACUGUGUUGUAAUUGUUAUAUGUCUCUGCAGCUGCUUAUGAGUAUCUAGAUCUGUGUAUAUAGUUGCCACUGUCAUGUACUUGUAUCAAUAAUGAACGAGAAGUCAGUACUAGUGCCGCGAUGGCUGCAUGUACAGAUGGCAGAUGAUUGAAUCUUUGUUGUAUAAAAUUGAAAUGCAGUGUUGAAAUUAACAUCUGUUCUAAUUUCGUUACAGCAAAAACGGAAGUUCCCAAUCAUGGCCGGUGUCCUAGAUGCUUUGGCAUCCUACAUCCAAAACAUGCUUCUGCAGAUGGCGGCAGAAGAGGUGCAUAUGUUGCUUGGGGUGUCCGGUGAGAUUGACAACAUGGACAUCAAGCUUCGGGAUCUAAAGAACAUCCUUGCUGAUGCUGAUAGGAGGAACAUCACUGACAAAAGCGUCCUAGCAUGGGGGAUAGAGCUAAGGAAUGCUAUGUAUGAUGCCACUGAUAUCCUCGACCUUUGCAAGCUCAAGGCUAUGGAGCAAGGCCAAAGGCAUGAUGCCGGAUGCUUCAACCCGUUGCUCUUCUGCAUACGGAAUCCCCUACAUGCCCACGAUAUUGGAAGCCGCAUCAAGAACCUUAACAAGAGGCUAGACGACAUCAAGGCACGUGGUGCAUCAUUCAACUUCCUGAACCUUAGUACUUAUGAGGAUCGUGGAAGAAAUGUGAUAUCAUAUGGUUCUAGUACCCGUGAGACAUCGGGGGGCCUUGUUGAGUCUGGUUUGGUUGGUGAGAAGAUUGAAGAGGACACAAUAAAUCUUGUGGAGAUGCUAACAAAGAAGUAUCCUACCGACGACAACAAAUCCAACAAAAUAAUGGUUUUCUCUAUUGUGGGAGCUGGUGGGAUUGGUAAAACCACCCUUGCUCAAAAGAUCUUCAACAAUGAAGUCAUAAAGGAUGAGUUCAAAAAGAAAAUAUGGUUGAGUGUCAACCAAGGCUUUGAUGAUAUUGAAAUGUUAAGGAGGGUUAUUAUCGAAGCUGGUGGAAACCACCAUGAUUGUGGAAAUGCAAAGGUGUCACUAGAACACACUCUAAUAGAAGCUUUGAAGGGACAAAAAACCUUAUUAAUAAUAGAUGAUGUCUGGGACAGCCGUAUAUGGGAAGGCGUGCUUAGAACUCCCUUUGUCAAUGCCAUGCUAGCUGAAGGUAGCCGUGUGCUGGUCACCACAAGGCAUGACACAGUGGCACGUCAGAUGAAGGCGGAGGAGCCCUACCAUCGUAUUGACAGACUUGGGCUUGAAGAUGCAUGGAUGCUGCUCAAGAAGCAGGUUCAAGUUAAUCCAUACAUUUAUUACUUUUCAUUAAUCAUGCGUUAUGUUUUCUAGCUGCAUCACUUUAUUUGCUUCUAUCUUAGUAGUGGGAACUAGAUUCCCUGUCUUGGCAGCAACUUCUAUUUUUCUUCUUUGUUUCAACCAUGUAGUUCUAUGGUUGUGACCUUCGAAAAAUAAGAUAAAGAAACAAAAUGACAUACUUCCUUGCGUUAGCAUUGUAAUAUCUUGCAUAUGCAGUCAUGUAGACUCCACAUAUAGUGCAGGUAUUCACUUUUUUUGUUAAAGCAAUUCAAAAUUGGACAUUGUAUUACACUCCCUCCUUUUUUUAAAAGAACUUGAGAUCUGUAGGUUCGAUUGGAUCUGUAAUUGGCUGUAAUGUAGGCAAUAUGAAAUGGCGAAUUAGUAACUAAUUUAAAUUCACAAACUAAGGAAACCAUAAUAAGUAUGUUUAUCACUAUUCUUUUUAGAGUAAAAUAAAAAAAAGGUCUUUGAAGUUAUUCUGUAUGAUGUUGUCUGAUCCUCAAACUCUCAAAAUGCUUGCAUUGUGAGGUUAUAGAAAUUGUCCUUGUAUGGAAUGUAAGUCCCAAGCCCUUAUAAUGCUACUUUCAUCCACAGGACUUGUCACGUGUUGUCAUCUAGUCUUGUUCUUAAUGAGCCCUAACACACUAUACACCCUCAUGUGGCAUGUCACAAUUGAUCCAUUUGUGGUUCAGUAUUGAUGAGUAGUCUAACACGAGGUUAUGUAUAUCACACAUAUUGGGCUGUUGCACUAUAUCCGAGCGAAGAGAGAGAGAGGGGGAACUCGGGAUGGUGGUCCAAAGGCCAACAUAUAUGUGUGGUGCCCAUAGAUAGAAUCGACUAGUACAGAUAUUAUGAGACAUAUAGGUAGCAUUUGGUUAGGAGAUAAGGUGGGAUGGAAGAAUGAUCUUGUCUCUGGUUGGAGGGAUGCAGUGACCCUAUUUUCUUUUUGGUUGGAAAGCGAUGGGACCAAUUUGUUUUCUAUUUGGUCUUAGAUAUAAUAACUCAAAUCAUGUGGGUCCCAUUUGGCAGUUUUAAUUCUCUUUUUCUUCCUCCUCUCCUUACCUUGUUCACGAACUGUAGCCACCCAAAGGACUCGCAAGUGCGACACCCUCUGCCUCCUCCCGUUGAGUCGGCCAUGGCUUAUGCCACCUGCUUCAUGUGUAGCCACCCAAAGGACUCGCGCACGGUGGCUCCUAAAAGGUUGCACGACGGCAGCCUCUGAGCUCACGCGUGGAGGCUCCUCUUAUCUCGGCACAGUGGUGCCCCCCCAAGGUCAUGCAAGGCGGCAAUCUCCCGAGCUCGCGCGAUGGUGGCCCCCUGUGCUCCUCGUCUUCAUUGACCUCCCGUAUGUGCACCUCCUCUUGUCUUCUUCCUCACCAGUGAGUGGGCUUGUCCCACCUCAGGUGACCCCCUGUUCGUCAAAUUUCUGCACAAGCACGCAUGUGAGCAACUAUCGUGGUCGUGUAGCCACCAUGCUUGCGCAGCCAAAUAGAAUUGGGGUAUGAAAUAGUUUAAGGAUCUAAAUGUACAGUUUUACAUUUAGUGAUCUGAUAGAAGAUGCCGUAGUUUAGAGACUAUGGGUGUAAUUUGCUCUAUGACAAUGGUUGGAAUCGCUUCCAAUCGCCUCCCAUCGCCUCCGCUAAAAACUUUUUUCUUGAUUUAAUUUGUGGAAGGGUAAUAACAUCAUUGUACAAGGUUCUCUGAAACCCCAACCCCUAUCAUCGGCAGCGACGGCUCCCUGUAACACGCAUUGGUGGACGCAGACGGGUGGAACUCAUAGAAGAUUUAAAAAAACUUAAGAAGAAGAUUUUUAUCUAACUAGCUAUAGUACUUGAAUCAAACAUCCUAUCUAUGUUACUCAAAAUAUUACUUUUACAAUUAUGAAUUUACCCUUUUACCCUUCAUUAAAAAAGAAAUACAAAAGGAGAAAUUACCGCUCCUCUAUUUAGGGUCUUAAUUCCUAUAAUUUUGGAGGCGAUGGGAGGCAAUGUGACAUCUAUGGCCCACCGACCAUAGACACACCUAUUGCCUCCCAUCACCUUGCUUCCAUCGCUUUGCUUCUCAUCGCCUCUCCAACCAUUGUAAAAAUAUUAAUUAUAGUAUUAUUACUGGACGUACGUGUAUGUGGAGAAGGCAUUGCUUAUGAAUUGUAUACAACAGUAUUUAAAAUUGAUUUUUGAACGUGAAGCUGGUGGAAGCGUGAUAUAUAGCAAAGAAUCCACAUACCAACGCUAAACUCAUGGUGGCAAUUAAUGUACAUGCUUUGUAAACUGCAAUUGCCCACUGGGUGAAAUCUAAGGAAGAGUGGGCCAAGAAACUAAUAUUAGACCUAGUACCACUUAGAAUAUUAAUUAUUUUAUAACAAAAUUUGAAACUAAACCAACCGCAUUUGUUGGGAGUAGACUAUACAGCUUUCAACCGUUUAUUUGUAUUGGAAUGCACGAGGAUAUUACAUGCUGAGUUAUUAGUGUAGUGUACUGGCACAGUAGCGUAUAUAUGGAUGUGUGUCACUUGUAAUGGAAACAAUUAUUUCUAAUAUUUUUGCUUGGCCAUACGUACGUUUGUGCGCACCUUCUAGUGAGCAUUCUUCCUCAAUGUUGAGUUUUGUUUGCACGAGCACUGUAGCUUUAUUACACAGAAUUUCUAUCGACUAUUGCGUCAACCCAUGUUCUGGCAUGGGCUCGAAUUUUAUGAGAUAUAAGUAUUAAGUAUUGUUCUGGUCAUUUCAAAUUAUAAACCAUUUUGGCUAUUAAAGAUAUAUUAUUUUUCAUUGUACCUAACAGUAUAUCUAAGUGUAUAGAAAAAACUAUAUACUUUCGAAACAUGUUAUAAUUUGAAAUGCGCGGAGUAGAUCUGAAUAAUAAUGAAAUAGUCAUAAAUUAUAUGUUUUUCUCUUUGUCUAAUCUCUAACAUAAUAGACAUGAUAGAUACUCUAUAGUCUAUAUCUAGUUAUCAUAAACUUAUUAGUUACUAUUUUUUCAACAAACUAAUCUAUAUAUUUUUAUCCAUAUUACUUCAAAUAUGCAAUUACUUUGAAACCUUACCAUUAAUCACGGUGGCUCUUGUUUUGUUAUGUAUCAAAUUUCUUAUUGACUGCAUCAGAUUUAUUUUUUCUCUCCUUAAGUUAAGUUGAACCCCUUAUGCUUAUUGUAUCUUUCAUUAACUCUUCUUUUUGUAUUUUUGAAAUAAGAAUUUUAGGACAUAGUUUACAUUCUUAGGAACUACAAUAGCAUAAGACAUCAUUUGAAACAUACACCAUAUUGCUUAAGAUAAGCCACAGAGCUUGAAGUGAGUUCACAAACAUGAUGGCUAAGGAAAUAUUAACCUCAAGAGAAUUUUUUAUUCUAUUGCUAAGGAAAUAACUUUUUUGUGAUUAAACAUAACAUAUUUAUUCCAUUGCUCAUGCAUGAUGGCAUUACGUGUAUAUUUACUUUAAUCAAAUCUUACUAUAUGUGUUUUAUGAGAAUUUCUAGGAUCUAUCUUUUGUUUUCCUAUCAAGUCUUGUGACGAUUAACAUGCAAGCUCUAGUAGAAACGUCUUGUUAGAAUUUAUAGUAUUUAUCUUUUUUCUAGUGUGAUAUGUAUUUAGUUGAAAACUAAACUUAAGAUAUAUAAACUCUUGAUACAACUCUUUUUUGACAUUGCAAAUCUACAUUUAUCUUUUAACUUUGAAUUAAAUUGUUGCAAUUUCUUCACAUGUUAAUUAGAAAUUCUGGUAUUCUUUAUCUUUUAUUCAAAAAUCAUUUUUUAUUAUAACGAAUAUAGGUCCAGUAGUAUUGUUUUCCACAUAUGCUAAAAUUUGGCUUGCAUUCUGACAGUAAACAUGUUCAAUUUGUUAUGUCAUACGAUUAUGUGUUGUAUUAUUGAUAUAUCAUAUUGUGCAUAAAUUUAAGUUGACAAUAUUGAUAUGACAUAAUGUUUCAGUAAAAACAUAUAAACUUGUUUAAAAUAAUAAUUAUUGAAUUUAUUAUCACGGAGUAUAGAUAUAAAGUGUUAUUGCUACAUCGUUUGCUAUGUGAACAUUUUUCAAUGUUUCAUAACUUUUAAAAUAAAUGUUAUCCAAAUUUAUACAUGUUUAUUUGAUAUACAUGGUGCAACAUUGCAUUUAGUUAUUUUAUUUCACGAUUAUUGAAUUAUGCAAUUUAGAAAUAUAUACAUGUACCAUACUUUUUGUUAAUAUUGAUAUUUUUAAUAGUAUAUAUUACUAUUUACAUGUCAAUUUUAGAUAUGUUUUGUUUAUCUUCAAUUCUGGCUAAGGUACAUACAAAAAUAAAUUUAAUACCUUGCAUUAUAUUUCACAAAGACAUAAAUGGAUAGGUUCAACACAAACAUAGAAUAUUAAUUUGCAUUAUUUUUCAUAAUGAUAAAGGUGGGAGAAUUUAUAAUUAGGAGGCAUUUUAAAUUAUGUUCCAUAAGGGUAUAUUGGGUAGUUUAGAUACAAAGUUAGAAUAUUAUUUUUUAUUAUCUUUCACAAUGACAAAAGCAAGGUAAUUUAGACACAAUUUUAGGGGUUUAUUUAAAUUAUGUUUCAUAAUCGCCAACGUGGGUAAUUUAGAUGAAAAAUCAGGGAGUGAUUUUGAAUUAUUUUUUAUGAUGACAUACAUGGGUAAUUUAUAUACAAAUAUAGAGGGUUAUUUUGAAUUAUCUUUUGUAAUGUCACAAUUGGGUAAAUUAAAUGCAAAAUUCGGGGUUACUUUAUUGUAUUUUCAUAACGGCAGUAGUGGGUAAUGUUUUAUAAACUAUAAUAGAUGCAAUGGCUAUUAUCACUGAUGAUAUUAGAGUUUAUCAAAUGAAAGGCUAGAUGUUUUUUAUUAUUGUCAUAAUUUGGAGGAUUUAUCUUUUUACUAGCAUUUUGUUAUGUCUCUGUUGGGGUCUCUAAUUAGAAUUUAUAGGAUUUAUCUUUUCUAGUUUCUGGUGAGAAUUAACGUGGUGUCUCUGUUGGGGCUUCUAAUUAGUAAUAACUAGGAGGAUUCCCCGCGCUUUGCUGCGGGUAUGAAAGAGGAAUAUAAAUAUGGUCUCACUAUAGUCUAUUAUGUCAUCUAUAUAUAGUUUUAGUAGUCAGUUUCAAAAGAGAAAGAGAGGAGAUCACGUGAGAAAAUAAUUGCUAGCAGUAUGCAUGCAUGGUCAUGUGUAGGUAGUUGCAUCCACUGCUGGAACCAUUUGUGAGUGGGCUAAAUUGCAUGCAGCAGCAGAAGAAGUGGAUGAUGAUGCAGCAGAAGAAGUGAAACUUUUUGGAUCUAAACAAUGCCUUAGUUGCAUAUGCAUAAAGUAUAAUAUAAAAAAGGAUGACCAAUAAUUGUGUGCUAGAGAUCCCAUUUCUUCUUGAUGUGCUUUGCAUUGGUAGCAUAUCACAACACUGCACGGUAAAUUAUUUUUUGUCUAAUUGGCCUGAAAUUCUUGCAGGCUGUCAGAGAUGUGAAUGAUGAGCCGCAGGUUGAAAAUUUAAAGGAUAUUGGCUUGAUACUUGUAAAAAAAUGUGAUGGUUUACCUCUUGGGAUCAAAGUAAUGGGAGGUCUCCUGAGUCGGAAAAGGAUAACACGAACCGACUGGCAAAAGGUCUUAGAUGAUUCUCUAUGGUCAAUAUCACAAAUGCCUGAAGAGCUAAAUUAUGCAGUAUAUCUUAGCUAUGAAGAUCUAGACCCUUGUUUGAAGCCUUGUUUUUUGCACUACUCCCUCCUCCCUAGGGGUACAGUUUUUUUUGUUCAUGAAAUUGUUGGAAUGUGGAUUGGUGAAGGAUAUGUUCAUGGAACAUUACGUGACGACCUAGAAGAAAUAGGAAGGGAAUAUUAUAAUGAGUUAAUACAGCGGAACCUUAUUGAGCCAGAUAUCAAGUUUAUUGAUCAAAGUGUUUGCAACAUGCAUGAUGUUGUCCGGUCAUUUGCUCAGAACAUGUUCCGAGACGAAGCACUCAUAACUCACAAUAGUAGAAUUGGGAUUGACAAGCUUAAAGCACAAAAGUUUAUGCGGUUAUCUCUCGAAAGCAAACAAUCGGAACAAUCUGAUUUGGAGUGGUGUUCUCUACAAACACAAAUGUCACUGAGAACAAUGCUUUUAUUUGGUAAUAUAAAGAUUCAACCAGGUGAUUCAUUUCGUUCUUUUUCAAGUCUCCGAACACUACACUUGGGCAGUGUAAAUAUUGUUGCAAUACCCGAAUCUUUGUAUCAGCUGAAACAUCUGAGGUAUCUGUCAAUAGAAAACAGUAAUAUAUCUAAGUUAUCAGAAGACAUUGGCAAGUUGAAAUUCUUGCAGUUCAUUAGCCUUUUUGGUUGUCCGAGUUUGACCAAGCUUCCCAGUAGCAUUGGACUGCUACAUGACUUGAGGUAUCUCUGUCUUCACAGAACAAAUAUAAGUGUUGUACCAAGGGAUUUUUGUGGUCUAACUUCUUUGAGGAAAUUAUAUGGAUUUCCAGCCCACAUGGACUGUGACCGUUGUAGUUUGGAGGAACUUGGGCCUCUCUCCCAGCUAACUGAACUUAAUAUCAGUUUCUUGGAGAAUGUAGCUUCUUCCUCAUCUGCUAUACAGGCCAAACUUGGUGGAAAGAAGCGCCUAAGGUAUCUCUCACUGGGUUGCACCAGUAGACUUGGAGAUGAUGGCCUGUUGGUAAAAAAGGAAGAAGGGAUCUCUGAGAAAGCCAAGAGACAAAUCGAGGAGGUCUUUGAUGAGCUCUGCCCUCCGCUUGGCUUAGAAAACCUUAACAUUGAAGGGUAUUUCGGUGAGCGGCUCCCAAGAUGGAUGAUGUCAGCAGCAGCAGUUAUGCCGCUUAGGAGCUUGAGGACUGUUACGAUGGACAACUUGGCCUGCUGCACAGAGCUUCCUAGUGGCUUGAGUCAGCUCCCCUGCUUGGAGCUUCUGCAGAUUGUUCGUGCCCCAGCCAUCAAGUGUGUUGGGCAUGAAUGGCUACAACCAAACAAUCAAUUAGGUUUUGCGUUUCCCAGACUGCAGGAGCUGCACUUUGAGGGAAUGGUCGAAUGGGAGGAAUGGGAGUGGGAGGAACAAGUGAAAGGCAUGCCUAUCUUGGAGUUGCUUAAACUGAAAAUGUGCAAGUUGAGGCGUGUGCCACCAGGCCUGGCCUUCCACGCAAGGGCUUUGAAGAAGUUAUGUAUAUAUGGUGUGAAGCAUCUAAGCUCUUUGGAGAACUUUGCUUCUGUGGUCCACCUGGACGUGUUUAGAAACACUCACCUGGAGAGGAUCAGUAAUCUACCAAAACUGCAGAAGCUCGUCAUCGUCAUGUGCCCAAAGCUGAAGGUAGUGGAUGGCAUGCCUGCACUCCAGAGACUCAAUCUGGAGGAUUAUGACAUGGAAACAGUCCCCAGGUAUCUGCAGGAUGUAAACCCAAGGCAUUUGCUGCUGCAUUGUUCCAUAUCGCUGCUCACAUGCAUAGCAGCAGGGAAAUCUGGUCCUCAGUGGGACAAGUUCAGCCACAUCCAGCAAGUCAAAGCUGCAAAUGAAGAAGGCUGUCCAAGGAAGUGGUAUGUGCUCUACACAAGGAACCCUUACCGCUUCGAGACAAAUAUCAGCCGCUCUGCUAUUGCCCAAGGUAAAUUAACACAGCCGCCUUCCAAUGUAAUUUAUUUUUUGGCACUCUGUUUUCCUCGGUUUCCUUCAAUCAGUUCAAUUCAUCUUCUGCAGCUCACGGACGCCGCAUAUGGCUUGCUUACUCGGAAACAUGUCCCAUUGAAGAUGAGUGGCCCACAGGAGGACACACGUAUGUAGAAAAACGUAUGCCCCUCUGCGUACGCUUCAGGUAAAAAAGUUGGCUACACGUUGAUUGCUUCCCUCUGUUUCAGUAAUUGUGCAUGCUUACACCUCCUUGACACGUGAUUAAUUGAACAUGGCAAGUUCUUUACCAUUUCAUUUCGUCCGUGCAACGUAUUUUUGCAACAUGUGCAGGUGCAACGCCUAUCGCCACUUGAAUGGCUGGUUUGAUGAAGCGUGCCUGCACUGCCAUGAAGCCGACAACAUCGCUUCCCCAUCUGAUCAGUGGACCCAAGGAGAAGUGCUUUCAGCCCGUAUAAAGACUGUUUGGGCAUGAGUGGAGGAAACGUCUUUAGUUUAGUGUGAGUAUGUGCAUCUUGGCUAUUCCUUGAUCUGCUUCUGUACCUUGUGUAUAAGAUCCUCAGCUUGUGUAUGUUCAUUUUACUGCUUAUUAGGGGCUUGUGUUCGAUCUUAUACUGUAACAUCUAGAAUACGUUUAUUGCGUUAGAAGUGUAAAGUGGUAAAAUAAUAAUAAUUGUAAUUUUAUCCAUCACUCAAAUGAAUGAUCAGAGAUUUUAGAUGCGUAGAGCUCGUCGAAUGCUUUCAGUUGCACUACUCAUAUGUAUUGUUUGGAAUUUGGAUCAUGGAGAUAUAAAUUUCAGAAGUUUUAAGAAAGAAAAAAUAAACAGGACCUUUUACUGUAGUGUGACGCGUGGUGGCCUUUUAUAUCCGCUCCAAGGCCUUUAGGUUCCAUCCAUAGCUUUUCAUAUUCAGGAUAAAAAAAAAGAGGAGAGGGGAGAAAAGAGAAAGGAGAAGAGAGAAGGGGAGGAUAGGGCCUAGGGUUUUGCCGCCGUCGUAGCCGCCGCCGCCGCUGUCGGUCAUCCGUGGUGGUCGUUCUUCCUUCCGUGGAAAAUACGGUUUGGUUCUACCUUGUAUCUUGGCUGUCCCAUUGAUCUACCAUGUCCCUUUUACUGUCCAUGAGGGCUUAGCCAUGUUUGGCGUAGAUCGGAAUAACAAGGCUUUUAUGGCGGCAAGGAUCGUGGCGAGUUGGAUCGGAGAUAAUGGAAAGGUGAAGAGGCGGAGAAGAAGGAGUAGACGCCAGGAGUUUCGGCGUCGUGCUCGCUGUGGUUCUCUAGGUGAGAAGCCAAAUAUUAAUCCCCUUCAUCUGAUCAAGUUUUGCGGAUUAAAUCGCUUAUUUGGGAUUGGGUUUAGUGGAGAAAUUCUUGAAGUCAUUUUCGUUCAUGUCCUGAAAUUCUCGUCAGACUGAGCAGUCACUGUUCAUCGUAAUGUUAUGGCAUUUUAGAGGCUUUAAUAAUUUUUGAGCCUGUGGACAAAGUUGUAGAGGACUUCAUUAUCUUUCUUUGGACGCCAAGAACUCUGUCAGAGCAGUUAUAUUUUGUGAGAUAUCGAGUUUUCAAUCUGACUGUUUUCCAGUGACGAAAAUCUGGACAGUUUUGGAUCUAAACAGUUUUUGACCCUGUUAAUGAAAUAAUUAGGUCUUUGAUUAUUAACAAAUGUUUUAGGAUUUUUGUUAAGCUUUCUAGAUUGGUAAAGUUUGUAACUUUUGAAUAAGUAUAUCACCAGUUAUGAAUUUUUGAAGUUUGAUGUUCUGUUUUGAAGGUCAGAAAUAUUCAGUUGUGUUCUAUGGUUAAUUAUACCAUCUUGCAGAUCUCUGAUGCAAAACCUUACAAUACAAAAGUUGUAUAUAACAGAGUUUUACAUGAUCUGAUAAAUUAUGGUAAUUUUUGGAUGAGUAUUCUGAAGUAUAUGAAAAAGAGAAGAGUCGGUGCUGCUGUCUUGAUCGGUAGCGCAAACGGUAGAGGCUUGAAUGUCGGGUUUGGGGCGCAUUAGUGCGUAUUUGUUCUUACUCUUGCUUGUAUGUUGGUGUAUGUACUGAGUAGUAUUUGUGAUCAGGUGGUAGCACUUCAGAACAUCGCUAGUGUUUUUGUUCUCCUUCGGUAAAGUGGCAAGUGAAUGUAGCGGUGGUUUGCUACCGUUUUGGCUUGUUAUUUUUAUCACCUACAGUUUAUUGUCUAUAAGAAUGUCAUCCCUCUCAUAUCUAAAAUUUAUGAUUUUGGUAUAUUUAGUCUUAGUUAAAUUGUGGUCUUAUUUAAGUAUUUAUGGUGAUGGUAUUAUUUUAUAUUGUUAUUUGUGGCUAGCCCACAAACUUGAAUUUGAAGUCGGAGUAUCAUUGGUGAUUUAUUAAUUUUAUUGCAACAUGCCAAGUGCAUUGCAUCAUUCAUUGGCAUUGGAAGUUAUGUCUUGACCUAUGGUCAUGACUGUACCGGUAUGCAUCAUGGGAUGCAGCUCCACACCUUGUUGGGUGUGCAGGCAGGAGACAUAUGCAUUGCAUUCAUAUGCAUUCAUGAGAAGUAUGUUAUUGAAGAGAUUUUAUCCACGUUAUUAUGAAGCUCUGUAUUAUUGGCUAUGUUCCAAAUUGGAAGACUGUUACUUUUAGUAUGAUAUUAUGUCAAUUGAGAACAUCAUAUUAAAUUGAUGUUAAUUCAAAUUGUGGUUUCAAUAGCUUGUCAAAACAAGUUCGCUUGCUGAGAUGUUUCGUCUCACCCUUGCUUUACUCAAUCCAGGUACUUGAUGCUUACUUGGAAGGAAAGGGACUUAGCUGCACGUCACACACUUAUUCAUUUAGAGACCUUGUGUUUUAAUAAAUAAUAAUUUGGUUUGCUUAUUGGUUUUGAAGGCGGUUGUUAAAGUGUGGGUGUUAAACUUAAUUCUUGUUGAAGUAACUUAUUUGCGUUAGGAUGUUCAUUAAUCCUAGUUUGGUAUUUCAGUAUUUUUUUUUAUAUUUUAUUCUUCCGCUUGCUAUAAAUACAAAGAAGAUACUGUCAAAUUGUUUAUGGUUGUGUGCAGCUGUUGUUUGUGUAGUCUAGUAGCAUCCCGGUGUAUUUGUGGUUUUCGGGGUGUUACAUAUACAGUAUGGACACAUGCCACAUUGCAGAAAUAAAUGUUCUAUCUGCUACUGAACAUGUACACAGAUUGCAAAAUUAUAUGUUCUGUAAUUUCACUAUUUUAUCAGGCUUACGAUAGUGAAUGGUAAACUGGUUGUGAUGUCAUCAAUGGACUCAUGGCACACUGCAAAUACAUAUGUGUUACAUUUCUUAUGAACUUUUAUGUUUUUUUAUUCUGGAUUGGAGCAUGCUCGCACUCCAAAUCCUCCAAUAGCCCUUUGCUCAGUGGAGACAAAUCUAUAACCAGGUGUGCCCGGAGGAUAUCCCAGCUGCCCGUAACCAAAUUCCUCCAAUUACUAGUUUCCUGGGCUCCCUGGAAAUACCAGAAUAUUGUGGUGUCCAACCACCUCCUGCUGUCAAUGAGAAAGCUGGCACCUUCGAUAUCACUCUUGCGAUCUUGGCGAGCAGGUCACUGACAUCUUGGUGGGCACCAUUAGUUUUUGUUUUUAUUUAAAUUUAAUGCUCUAUACAUGUACCGUAAGAUUCGAUAUGACGAAAAAUCUUAAAAAAAUACAAAUUUUUUUUGGAAGCCCUAGGCACCCCAAACCAGGUGAGGUCACACGGGCCUAUGCGAGAUCCGGCGUGCCAGCAAACUGGCUCCUAACAGAGUGUUCGAUGACAGAAUAAUUCCCAUCCCCGCCAAUACCAGUCCUAUCCAUGAAAAGGCGAAGAAGGCCCACGUCGGCAUGCUCUGUCGCUAGUCCCCACUAGCGCCUUCUGCGGGUCCCGUCAUCAGUCCUCGCUGAUCGGUCUCUCAUCUUCUCCACCGGGACCCCUCGCCGCCGUCUCCUCUGCCUCUCAUCUUCUGCAACAACGGGUAGGCAAAGAGGUGGCAUGUGUGGCUCGCCGGCCGUUGAGCCGAGGCAGAGCGCGCGUCUCGGCAUCAAAGACAAAGGAUGCACGGGAGUCAAUUGGAAGUCGAUGCAGGAGGAGCGUAGGAGAGAGAAGGCACUGUGCUAUAUGUUUUUUUUUUGGUUAUUUAUGGUGCAUUAAUUGUUGGUGAGCGUGAUGAGUCCUAUCCUACAAUGAGACUUAUGAGCAGUUUGGGAGUGUACCCAAACUAAUUUUGGGUUGGGUUGAAGUGAACCCAUCACGCCUUUGGGUAGAAGGACAGGGUUAUCCCAUAUUUUUUAUUUGUGCCUUGUUUAGUUCCAAAAUAUUUUGCAAAAUCGACACUGUAGCUUUUUCGUUUGUAUUUGACAAAUAAUAUCCAAUCAUAGACUAACUAGGCUCAAAAGAUUCGUUUCGUCAAUUUCGACCAAACUAUGCAAUUAGUUUUUAAUUUUAUCUAUAUAUAAUACUUCAUGCAUGUGUCUAAAGAUUCGAUGUGACGGGGAAUCUGAAAAAUUUUGCAAAAUUUUUUGGGAACUAAACAAGGCCUUGGUUGGAGAUAAACUGUGUCGGGGUUUGGAUUCAUGACACGUGGGUCCUGCAUGUCAGCCUUCUAUCAAUUCUUCUCCCAUGGGUCAUCCUUUGAUCGUCCCUGACACCGCCGCUCUCUGCUCCCACACUAUCGUGGCCCUCUACAACCAAUGCAUCUCGCUCGCGCAGCUCUCUUGGCUUGCCUGCGCAUGGGCACAAUUGCCACGUCUGGCCAUAGAAGAGACCGUGUUCCGACUAUCGGAUCCCUACGUCCAGCAAUGGUUGUUGUUUAUAUUCAAUUCGAGAGCACCCAAAUCAGGGGUUACAAUGAAAGAGAGUGAAUCGACACGAGAUCACUCGGUGCUAUCAAGCCUCGUUGGUGGCGAGGAAGAAGAAAUGUUCCCCUCUCUCACUGGAUUGCUAACCAUGCCUACAAAAAGGAUGGAUACAAAACUCCCCGAUUUCUAGGAAGCCCCUACAAUCGAUUUUCAAGCCGCCUCUACAAAUCAAUUUUCAGAAAUCAUGCGAUUUUAGGCUAAAAAAUAGCAACAAAAAGUGGCACCAUUGGUCCACCAACCCUUCCGCUCACACAUAUCUUCCUCUACCACUGCACCCUACACUCAAUGUGUCUAUAACCUAUUUUUGGCUUGCAGCAUAAGCCACAAUAUUUUUUGUACACUUUGUGGCCGACGGGAUUUGAACCCAUGACCUUCCCCUCACAUGUAUCCUCUUCUACCACUACACCUCACACUUAAUCUGUCUAUAAUCCAUUUUUGCACACUUCGUGGCCGAUGAAAUUCGAACCCAUGACAACCCUCCCCCCGCCUAGCACGUAUCCUCCUGUAUCACCUCACACUCAAUGUUUUUAUAAUCCAUUUUUGCUUCCCAAAAUAUUAUACCGAGCAUAAAUUGAUUGUCUGAGGCCCUAAACGAUUUCAUAUGAACAAGUUAUCAACUAUAAAGUUUCAUAACUUUUUUAUAUCUAUAACUUUCAUGUUGGUAAUUUUUCCAUCUGAGAUCGUUUCAAAAAUUUGAAUUUAAAAUUUACAAGAUUCAAACGUAAUUUUUCAUGAUAAGAUGAUAGCAAAUGAAAAAGUUAUCAACUAGAAAGUUUCAUAACUUUUCGAAAUCUACAACUUUCAAUUUUGCUAUUUGUCCAUCCGCGAUCGUUUAAAAAAUCAUAAUUUGAAAUUUUGAAAAUUUAAGCAUAGUUUUCUUGACAACAUGAUUUCGAUAACAAGUUAGUCAUCACCGAGUUCAUAUGAAGCCAACGGUCUGGCUUCCACGAUGGAUUUGUGGACCGAAGCAGACCGGCGUUAGACAUGUAGAUAUUAUGAGACUCGAAAUAGACGUCUUGCUAUUGAUGGAAAUAUCGCCUACCGCUGAAAGCACAACAACAUUAAAUCCCUAAAGUAUUUACUCCCAGGAGUUGAAAGAACUACUAAGGCCUUUGUAAACCACUAGGCUACAGACCUUUGUUUCUGUAAACAUGCAUGCUUACACCUCCUUGACACUAGAUCAAUCGGACAUGGCAAGUUGUUUAACAUUUCAUCCCGUGUAACGUAUUUUUAGUUUUUUUUGCACCAUGUGCUGGUACAACGCCCAUCGUCACUCGGGUUUGAUGAAGCCUGGUUUAGUUCUAAAAAAAUUUGUAAAAUGAACACUAUAGUACUUUCGUUUGAAUUUAACAAAUAUUUUCCAAUCAUGUGCAAUUAGUUAUUUCUUUUAUCUAUAUUUAAUAUUUUAUGCAUGUGCCGCAAGAUUCGAUGUGACAGAGAAUCUAAAAAAUUCUGCAAAAUAUUUUGAAAGUAAACAAGCCCCAAGCCUGCCUGCACCGCCUUGAAGGCGACGGCAUCGAUUCCCCAUCGGCCAUCAGUGGGCUGAAGCAGCAGUGUAUUCUGCGUGUACAUUAUGUAUUUUGGGCAGUUUCGUUGAUCUGCAUCUGUACCUUGUGCUCGUAGGAGCACCAAACAGAGCUUGCUCUGUUUUCAGACAUUGUUCACUCUGCUUUCUUGAUGCUCCUCAAGUUGCUGUACCCAAGCCAAACUAGCAUACGAAUUAGCGGUCUCAUCCCAGCCAUCAAUCAAAUGCCCAUCGCCCACUUAGCAAGUCUUCCUGUUUGCUACCAACGGGGGCUUCACAUCUACCGUCGGUAUUAUUAUUUCCUCAUUCAAUCUCCUCCGUUAAACAAGUCAAAAUUCCCUUAUAUAUAGCAGCAAAGAAAUGGACGAAUAUUGGUAUCUUUUAUGACGAGAGCUGAUUGUGACAUCCAUCCAUUAUUAUUAUAUUAGCCUGCCGUGGAGCAUGCAUGGACGGACGACGCCACAGUAGACUGAACUGCAACGUCUGUUGAACACAACGUCUGUCUGUUGCAUGAUGAUGCUGAUGAUGGCUCACCCUGUUGAACCGUGGAAGCAAGUUCGGACUGAACUGCAGCAGCAAUUUGCAAGCCCGUUUUGAUCGCGUGUGUUGGCUCAUGCCCAGGCUCAUGCAUGUAUGAGUAUGUUGAACCUCUCGAUGGAUGGUUUUCGGCUUCCCUGUGUCUCGCUCGCACUGCUACCAUCAUCUCGUGACUCAAACAUCAUGUAUGCCUGGCCUUGUUUAGUUCCUAAAAAAUUUUGCAAAAUUUUUCAGUCCGUCACAUCAAAUCUUUAGACGCAUACAUGAAGUAUUAAAUAUAGAUGAAAAUAAAAACUAAUUGCACAGUUUGGUCGAAAUUGAUGAGAUGAAUCUUUUAAGACUAGGUAGUACAUAAUUAGAUAAUAUUUGUCAAAUACAAACGAAAGUGUUGCUAUUCCAAUUUUGUAAAAAAAAUUUGGAACUAAACAAGUCCAACUUUCAUCUACGUUCCAGUGCUAGAUGGCUCACCACACUAACUUGGCAUAAGUUGGCCAUACAUCAUUACAUUAUUUAAUUUACAGAGGAUAGACAUUGACCAAGGCUAGAGCCUCGCAUAGUCAGGGGUCACCUUCAUCCAACAAACACGCUGAGUCAGAUUUGUCGCGAUCAUUUUGGAAUAUAUAAUCCCAAAGCAUCUGAUUCCACUACUAAAGCUGAUGAUUCUUAUAAUAUAUUUUUUAUUAAAAAAUAAAAAAACGCAGGAAGUGGCCUACAUUGAAUGCACAAAAUAUUGUUUCCACACAGUACAAAGAUAGAUUGCACAAUCGUCUUUGUGCCUGCUUGGAUUCCACCACUAAUCGAACGAAGCUGCCUGGCACUUUCCUUCUCACCUUGCACUGUCACCACACGACCCACUCCAACCACCACCUUCUUCCCUGAAUCAUCACCAUUUUCCUUCCCAGCUUCAAGCAGCCAAACGGAAGACACCAACCAGCUACUGCGAUUCUUGCGGACAACUUGACUCCAUGCAUGUUGCUGCUCAACCUUUCAUCACUAACGGGCAUGCCACAAUCCAGCAGUAGCAUCUGGUUGGUCAGGUCGGCGAUGUCCAUGCUGAUUCCUGCCUAGCCAUUGACCAAUAAUACAUCCUGUUGUUGCAACGCCUCUCCGCUUCCGGCCAUUGCUCAGCUCAUCGGACUCAGGUUUGUUUCCUUAACCGUUACGUUUCUGCAGUGGCUUAUGCUUAGCAAGAUCUGCCCAUAUAGCUACUGCCCCCAGUGAUGUAGUUGUUAUGAUUCGGCACAUAAAGUUGUCACUCUCAUAUAGUUAUAUCAAUGAACGAGAGGGGGAGUGAAUGAGAGCCGUAAAUUUUGUCUCAAAAUAUUUUCGGCCACUGUCUCAAAUCACCGCCCAACACAAGCGAGAAUCCCGAAACUAAAUUACUCAAGCGAACCGGUGACAAGAGCACUUAGAUAAAAUUUUUGAAACAAUAGAAAGUUAACACAACAGACGAAACACGAAUUAGAGCUCAAAUGAUUAAACUACGCAUUUUUUAGAUAAAGGAUAGUUUAUAUCCAAACUUCAUCUACCAUAGGGUAGAAUCAGACCAAUUAUUACAAAGUUCGGUCAGACGACCAGUACACUUGAGAUAACUCAAUUUAUGGAAACAAAACGGAAAGAAAGCGUUUGGCUAUGAAAGACCAAGAAACCUAGUUGACAGCCAUCCAUUAGAUCUAAAGAAAUGCAGAGUUGAAGUUUCCAAAAACUGUCCAGCAAGCAGAAGCUGGUCUUUUAGUACCUCACACCGCUACAGUCUUACCCACUAACGAAGCCAAUGGGUUCCUCUAAUACCUGCAAAAAAGUUUUCGGUCUGCAUUUGUCAAAAAACCACUUCAUUUCUUGUUAUCCAAAUUGUCCAAACUAGGGUCAUAGCUGCCAUUAAUAAUAAGGAAUUAAAAGUGUUACUAGUCCUCUUAAGACCAAUUAACAAAAAACAAUCAUUUAUACUAAGAGGAGGUGCAAUUCCAAACAACAGGCGUACCACACGCCACAAGAAUUAGUAUAAAAACAUUCGAAUAAGAGGUGGUGAAUAGUUUUAGGAGAAUCACAGAACACAUAUCUUGUGUCUCUAGCCUAGUUACGUUGGCAAGAUUAUCUUUGGUUAAAACAACACCUCUUUUUAAAUAUAAAAAAAAGACUUUUAUACAAAAGGGAGCCUCGCCUAGUCAAGAUAUAGGGGUCACCUUCAUCCAACAAACAUGCCAAGUCAGAUUUGUCGUGAUCAUUUUGGAAUAAUCCCAAGCAUCUGAUUUCACCACCAAAGGUGAUGAUUCUAUUAAUAUAUUACUUUAUUAAACAAUAAAAAACAGAAAGUGGCUUAAAUGAAAUGAACAAUACUAGGACCUUGUUUAAUUCACAAAAAUUUUUGGAUUUGACUAUUAUAGCAUUUUCGUUUUAUUCAGCAAUUAGUGUUCAAUCAUGGACUAAUUAGACUUAAAAGAUUUAUCUCACAAUUUAUAGAUAAAUUAUACAAUUAGUUAUUUUUUAUCUAUAUUUAAUGUUUUGUAUAUGCGUACAAAGAUUUUUUAUCAAGUGGGCGAUCAAAUUGUUAACAUCCAUCCGUCCCGCCCAACACUAACAUCAGCUUUUGCAGUGCACCAACCGCUAGCCUUUUCGUUUAUUACUAAAUCCAAGUUAUAGGUGCGGAGAGUGUUGCCGAUCGAACUUCCAUGUCAUGGGAUAAAUUGGGGCUCAGUAAUCUAAAAGAAAGUGAGUUGUUUAAUUUCCAACGUAUAGAGGCUCCAAAGAGAAAUUCAUACCAAUACACUUGUGAUUGGAAGAAAAUGAAUUGCCAUUGCCAAUAUACUUGAUUAAUUUGUACUUAAUUAUGUAAUUCGAAAUAAAAUAGCAUGCAUUACAAGACGCAAGAGCCGGUCAGUGGCCGCUGCCAAAUUGUAUUUUGGUUUCUUUAUGAGCGAGUCUUUGCUUGUCGUCUCGUGCAACGAGAACGCUUCCUGCGGUGCCUCCACUCUAGCAUCCAACAAGGCUCCGGUGUGGAAUUUAUAAACUAGGACACAGCAAGCAAGUCGAUCGAAGUUGCCAUGCACUUUCCUUCCCACCUUGCACUGUCACCAAAAGACCUACUCCAACCACCAUCUUCUUCCCUGAAUCAACACUAUUUUCCUUCCCCAGCUCAAGCAGCCAAACAGAAGACACCAACCAGCUACUGCGAUUCUCGCCGGUAAUUUCUUUCCUGCCCACCUUGCAGUGUUAUUCCUACUCUAGCAUCCAUCUCACUGCUCCUCCUUUCUUCAAUCACUGGCGAGCCACAAUCCAGCAGUAGUAUAAGGUGGGUCAGGUCGAAGAUGUCCAUACUGAUACCUGUCUAACCAUAAACCAAGAUUGAGAUCCUAGUCCACGACCAAGAAAGAACAAAGUGGCACUGCCUCACCAAUUCUGGCCAUUGCACAGCUCGUCAACUUGAGGUUUGUUUCCUUAACCGUUACGUUUCUGCAGCUAUAUAGUUGUGCACAUAUAGUGCCCACUGUGUUGUAAUUGUUAUAUGUCUCUGCAGCUGCUUAUGAGUAUCUAGAUCUGUGCAUAUAUAGUUGCCACUGUCAUGUACUUGUAUCAAUAAUGAACGAGAAGUCAGUACUAGUGCCGCGAUGGCUGCAUGUGUAGAUGGAAGAUGAUUGAAAAUAUUUGUUGUAUAAAAUUGAAAUGCAAUGUUGAAAUUAACAUAUGUUCUAAUUUCGUUACAGCAAAAACGGAAGUUCUCAAUCAUGGCCGGUGUCCUAGAUGCUUUGGCAUCCUACAUCCAAAACAUGCUUCUGCAGAUGGCGGCAGAAGAGGUGCAUAUGUUGCUUGGGGUGUCCGGUGAGAUUGACAACAUGGACAUCAAGCUUCGGGAUCUAAAGAACAUCCUUGCUGAUGCUGAUAGGAGGAACAUCACUGACAAAAGUGUCCUAGCAUGGGGGAUAGAGCUAAGGAAUGCUAUGUAUGNNNNNNNNNNNNNNNNNNNNNNNNNNNNNNNNNNNNNNNNNNNNNNNNNNNNNNNNNNNNNNNNNNNNNNNNNNNNNNNNNNNNNNNNNNNNNNNNNNNNACGGAAAGAAAGCGUUUGGCUAUGAAAGACCAAGAAACCUAGUUGACAGCCAUCCAUUAGAUCUAAAGAAAUGCAGAGUUGAAGUUUCCAAAAACUGUCCAGCAAGCAGAAGCUGGUCUUUUAGUACCUCACACCGCUACAGUCUUACCCACUAACGAAGCCAAUGGGUUCCUCUAAUACCUGCAAAAAAGUUUUCGGUCUGCAUUUGUCAAAAAACCACUUCAUUUCUUGUUAUCCAAAUUGUCCAAACUAGGGUCAUAGCUGCCAUUAAUAAUAAGGAAUUAAAAGUGUUACUAGUCCUCUUAAGACCAAUUAACAAAAAACAAUCAUUUAUACUAAGAGGAGGUGCAAUUCCAAACAACAGGCGUACCACACGCCACAAGAAUUAGUAUAAAAACAUUCGAAUAAGAGGUGGUGAAUAGUUUUAGGAGAAUCACAGAACACAUAUCUUGUGUCUCUAGCCUAGUUACGUUGGCAAGAUUAUCUUUGGUUAAAACAACACCUCUUUUUAAAUAUAAAAAAAAGACUUUUAUACAAAAGGGAGCCUCGCCUAGUCAAGAUAUAGGGGUCACCUUCAUCCAACAAACAUGCCAAGUCAGAUUUGUCGUGAUCAUUUUGGAAUAAUCCCAAGCAUCUGAUUUCACCACCAAAGGUGAUGAUUCUAUUAAUAUAUUACUUUAUUAAACAAUAAAAAACAGAAAGUGGCUUAAAUGAAAUGAACAAUACUAGGACCUUGUUUAAUUCACAAAAAUUUUUGGAUUUGACUAUUAUAGCAUUUUCGUUUUAUUCAGCAAUUAGUGUUCAAUCAUGGACUAAUUAGACUUAAAAGAUUUAUCUCACAAUUUAUAGAUAAAUUAUACAAUUAGUUAUUUUUUAUCUAUAUUUAAUGUUUUGUAUAUGCGUACAAAGAUUUUUUAUCAAGUGGGCGAUCAAAUUGUUAACAUCCAUCCGUCCCGCCCAACACUAACAUCAGCUUUUGCAGUGCACCAACCGCUAGCCUUUUCGUUUAUUACUAAAUCCAAGUUAUAGGUGCGGAGAGUGUUGCCGAUCGAACUUCCAUGUCAUGGGAUAAAUUGGGGCUCAGUAAUCUAAAAGAAAGUGAGUUGUUUAAUUUCCAACGUAUAGAGGCUCCAAAGAGAAAUUCAUACCAAUACACUUGUGAUUGGAAGAAAAUGAAUUGCCAUUGCCAAUAUACUUGAUUAAUUUGUACUUAAUUAUGUAAUUCGAAAUAAAAUAGCAUGCAUUACAAGACGCAAGAGCCGGUCAGUAGCCGCUGCCAAAUUGUAUUUUGGUUUCUUUAUGAGCGAGUCUUUGCUUGUCGUCUCGUGCAACGAGAACGCUUCCUGCGGUGCCUCCACUCUAGCAUCCAACAAGGCUCCGGUGUGGAAUUUAUAAACUAGGACACAGCAAGCAAGUCGAUCGAAGUUGCCAUGCACUUUCCUUCCCACCUUGCACUGUCACCAAAAGACCUACUCCAACCACCAUCUUCUUCCCUGAAUCAACACUAUUUUCCUUCCCCAGCUCAAGCAGCCAAACAGAAGACACCAACCAGCUACUGCGAUUCUCGCCGGUAAUUUCUUUCCUGCCCACCUUGCAGUGUUAUUCCUACUCUAGCAUCCAUCUCACUGCUCCUCCUUUCUUCAAUCACUGGCGAGCCACAAUCCAGCAGUAGUAUAAGGUGGGUCAGGUCGAAGAUGUCCAUACUGAUACCUGUCUAACCAUAAACCAAGAUUGAGAUCCUAGUCCACGACCAAGAAAGAACAAAGUGGCACUGCCUCACCAAUUCUGGCCAUUGCACAGCUCGUCAACUUGAGGUUUGUUUCCUUAACCGUUACGUUUCUGCAGCUAUAUAGUUGUGCACAUAUAGUGCCCACUGUGUUGUAAUUGUUAUAUGUCUCUGCAGCUGCUUAUGAGUAUCUAGAUCUGUGCAUAUAUAGUUGCCACUGUCAUGUACUUGUAUCAAUAAUGAACGAGAAGUCAGUACUAGUGCCGCGAUGGCUGCAUGUGUAGAUGGAAGAUGAUUGAAAAUAUUUGUUGUAUAAAAUUGAAAUGCAAUGUUGAAAUUAACAUAUGUUCUAAUUUCGUUACAGCAAAAACGGAAGUUCUCAAUCAUGGCCGGUGUCCUAGAUGCUUUGGCAUCCUACAUCCAAAACAUGCUUCUGCAGAUGGCGGCAGAAGAGGUGCAUAUGUUGCUUGGGGUGUCCGGUGAGAUUGACAACAUGGACAUCAAGCUUCGGGAUCUAAAGAACAUCCUUGCUGAUGCUGAUAGGAGGAACAUCACUGACAAAAGUGUCCUAGCAUGGGGGAUAGAGCUAAGGAAUGCUAUGUAUGAUGCCACUGAUAUCCUCGACCUUUGCAAGCUCAAGGCUAUGGAGCAAGGCCAAAGGCAUGAUGCCGGAUGCUUCAACCCGUUGCUCUUCUGCAUACGGAAUCCCCUACAUGCCCACGAUAUUGGAAGCCGCAUCAAGAACCUUAACAAGAGGCUAGACGACAUCAAGGCACGUGGUGCAUCAUUCAACUUCCUGAACCUUAGUACUUAUGAGGAUCGUGGAAGAAAUGUGAUAUCAUAUGGUUCUAGUACCCGUGAGACAUCGGGGGGCCUUGUUGAGUCUGGUUUGGUUGGUGAGAAGAUUGAAGAGGACACAAUAAAUCUUGUGGAGAUGCUAACAAAGAAGUAUCCUACCGACGACAACAAAUCCAACAAAAUAAUGGUUUUCUCUAUUGUGGGAGCUGGUGGGAUUGGUAAAACCACCCUUGCUCAAAAGAUCUUCAACAAUGAAGUCAUAAAGGAUGAGUUCAAAAAGAAAAUAUGGUUGAGUGUCAACCAAGGCUUUGAUGAUACUGAAAUGUUAAGAAGAGUUAUUAUCGAAGCUCGUGGAAACCACCAUGAUUGUGGAAAUGCAAAGGUGUCACUAGAACACACUCUAAUAGAAGCUUUGAAGGGACAAAAAACCUUAUUAAUAAUGGAUGAUGUCUGGGACAGCCGUAUAUGGGAAGGCGUGCUUAGAACUCCCUUUGUUAAUGCCAUGCUAGCUGAAGGUAGCCGUGUGCUGGUCACCACAAGGCAUGACACAGUGGCACGUCAGAUGAAGGCGGAGGAGCCCUACUAUCGUAUUGACAGACUUGGGCUUGAAGAUGCAUGGAUGCUGCUCAAGAAGCAGGUACAAGUUAAUCCAUACAUUUAUUACUUUUCAUUAAUCAUGCAUUAUGUUUUCUAGCUGCAUCACUUUAGUUUUGCUUCUAUCUUAGUAGUGGGAACUAGAUUCCCUGUCUUGGCAGCAACUUCUAUUUUUCUUCUUUGUUUCAACCAUGUAGUUCUGUGGUGGUGACCUUCGAAAUAUAAGAUAAAGAAACAAAAUGACAUACUUCCUUGCGUUAGCAUUGUAUUAUCUUGCAUAUGCAGUCAUGUAGACUCCACAUAGUGCAGGUAUUCACUUUUUUUGUUAAAGCAAUUCAAAAUUGGACAUUGUAUUACACUCCCUCCUUUUUUUAAAAAGAACUUGAGAUCUGUAGGUUCGAUUGGAUCUGUAAUUGGCUGUAAUGUAGGCAAUAUGAAAUGGCGAAUUAGUAACUAAUUUAAAUUCACAAACUAAGGAAACCAUAAUAAGUAUGUUUAUCACUAUUCUUUUUAGAGUAAAAUAAAAAAAAGGUCUUUGAAGUUAUUCUGUAUGAUGUUGUCCGAUCCUCAAACUCUCAAAAUGCUUGCAUUGUGAGGUUAGAGAAAUUGUCCUUGUAUGGAAUGUAAGUCCCAAGCCCUUAUAAUGGUACUUUCAUCCACAGGACUUGUCACGUGUUGUCAUCUAGUCUAGUUCUUAAUGAGCCCUAACACACUAUACACCCUUAUGUGGCAUGUCACAAUUGAUCCAUUUGUGGUUCAGUAUUGAUGAGUAGUCUAACGCGAGGUUAUGUAUAUCACACAUAUUGGGCUGUUGCACUAUAUCCGAGCGAAGAGAGAGAGAGGGGGAACUCAGGAUGGUGGUCCAAAGGCCAACAUAUAUGUGUGGUGCCCAUAUAUAGAAUCGACUAGUACAGAUAUUAUGAGACAUAUAGGUAGCAUUUGGUUGGGAGAUAAGGUGGGAUGGAAGAAUGAUCUUGUCUCCGGUUUGAGGGAUGCAGUGACCCUAUUUUCUUUUUGGUUGGAAAGCGAUGGGACCAAUUUGUUUUCUAUUUGGUCUUAGAUAUAAUAACUCAAAUCUUGUGGGUCCCAUUUGGCAGUUUUAAUUCUCUUUUUCUUCCUCCUCUCCUUACCUUGUUCACGAACUGUGGCCACCCAAAGGACUCGCAAGUGCGACGCCCUCUGCCUCCUCCCGUUGAGUCGGCCAUGGCUUAUGCCACCUGCUUCAUGUGUAGCCACCCAAAGGACUCGCGCACGGUGGCUCCUAAAAGGUUGCACGACGGCAGCCUCUGAGCUCACGCGUGGAGGCUCCUCUUAUCUCGGCACAGUGGUGGCCCCCCAAGGUCAUGCAAGGCGGCAAUCUCCCGAGCUCGCGCGAUGGUGGCCCCCUGUGCUCGUCUUCAUUGACCUCCCCUAUGUGCACCUCCUCUUGUCUUCUUCCUCACCAGUGAGUGGGCUUGUCCCACCUCAGGCGACCCCUUGUUCGUCAAAUUUCUGCACAAGCACGCAUGUGAGCAACUGUCGUGGUCGUGUAGCCACCAUGCUUGCGCAGCCAAAUAGAAUUGGGAUACUUAAAUGUUUAAGUAUCUAAAUGUAUAGUUUUACAUUUAGUGAUCUGAUAGAAGAUGCAGUAGUUUAGAGACUAUGGGUGCAAUUUGCUCUAUGACAAUGGUUGGAAUCGCCUCCCAUCGCCUCCGCUAAAAACUUUUUUCCUUUUUUUUUUAAUUUGUGGAAGGGUAAUAACAUCAUUGUACAAGGUUCUCUUAAACCCCAACCCCUAUUAUCGGCAGCGACGGCUCCCUGUAACACGCAUUGGUGGACGCAGACAGGUGGAACUCAUAGAAGAUUUAAAAAAACUUAAGAAGAAGAUUUUUAUCUAACUAGCUAUAGUACUUGAAUCAAACAUCCUAUCUAUCUUACUCAAAAUAUUACUUUUACAAUUAUGAAUUUACCCUUUUACCCUUCAUUAAAAAAGAAAUACAAAAGGAGAAAUUACCGCUCCUCUAUUUAGGGUCUUAAUUCCUAUAAUUUUGGAGGCGAUGGGAGGCAAUGUGACAUCUAUGGCCCACCGACCAUAGACACACCUAUUACCUCCCAUCACCUUGCUUCUAUCGCUUUGCUUCUCAUCGCCUCUCCAACCAUUGUAAAAAUAUUAAUUAUAGUAUUACUGGACGUACAUGUAUGUGGAGAAGGCAUUGCUUAUGAAUUGUGUACAACAGUAUUUAAAAUUGAUUUUUCAACGUGAAGCUGGUGGAAGCGUGAUAUAUAGCAAAGAAUCCACAUACCAACGCUAAACUCAUGGUGGCAACUAAUGUACAUGCUUUGUAAACUGCAAUUGCCCACUGGGUGAAAUCUAAGGAAGAGUGGGCCAAGAAACUAAGAUUAGACCUAGUACCACUUAGAAUAUUAAUUAUUUUAUAACAAAAUUUGAAACUAAACCAACCGCAUUUGUUGGGAGUAGACUAUACAGCUUUCAACCGUUUAUUUGUAUUGGAAUGCACGACGAUAUUACAUGCUGAGUUAUUAGUGUAGUUACUGGCACAGUAGCGUAUAUAUGGAUGUGUGUCACUUUGUAAUGGAAACAAUUAUUUCUAAUAUUUUUGCUUGGCCAUACGUACGUUCGUGCGCACCUUGUAGUGAGCAUUCUUCCUCAAUGUUGAGUUUUGUUUGCACGAGCACUGUAGCUUUAUUACACAGAAUUUCUAUCGACUAGUGCAUCAACCCAUGUUCUGGCAUGGGCUUGAAUUUUAUGAGAUAUAAGUAUUAAGUAUUGUUCUGGUCAUUUCAAAUUAUAAACCAUUUUGGCUAUUAAAGAUAUAUUAUUUUUCAUUGUACCUGACAGUAUAUCUAAGUGUAUAGAAAAAACUAUAUACUUUCGAAACAUGUUAUAAUUUGAAAUGCGCGGAGUAGAUCUGAAUAAUAAUGAAAUAGUCAUAAAUUAUAUGUUUUUCUCUUUGUCUAAUCUCUAACAUAAUAGACAUGAUAGAUACUCUAUAGUCUAUAUCUAUAGUUAUCAUAAACUUAUUAGUUACUAUUUUUUCAACAAACUAAUCUAUAUAUUUUUAUCCAUAUUACUUCAAAUAUGCAAUUACUUUGAAACCUUACCAUUAAUCACGGUGGCUCUUGUUUUGUUAUGUAUCAAAUUUCUUAUUGACUGCAACAGAUUUAUUUUUUCUCUCCUUAAGUUAAGUUGAACCCCUUAUGCUUAUUGUAUCUUUCAUUAACUCUUCUUUUUGUAUUUUUGAAAUAAGAAUUUUAGGACAUAGUUUACAUUCUUAGCAUCGAACUACAAUAGCAUAAGACAUCAUAAAUUAUAUGUUUUUCUCUUUGUCUAAUAUCUAACAUAAUAGACAUGAUAGAUACUCUAUAGUCUAUAUCUAGUUAUCAUAAACAUAUUAGUUACUAGUUUUUCAACAAACUAAUCUAUAUAUUUUUAUCCAUAUUACUUUAAAUAUGCAAUUACUUUGAAACCUUGCCAUUAAUCACAGUGGCUCUUGUUUUGUUGUGUAUCAAAUUUCUUAUUGACUGCGACAGAUUUAUUUUUUCUCUCCUUAAGUUAAGUUGAACCCCUUAUGCUUAUUGUAUCUUUCAUUAACUCUUCUUUUUGUAUUUUUGAAAUAAGAAUUUUCGGACAUAGUUUACAUUCUUAGGAACUACAAUAGCAUAAGACAUCAUUUGAAACAUACACCGUAUUGCUUAAGAUAAGCCACAGAGCUUGAAGUGAGAUCACAAACAUGAUGGCUAAGGAAAUAUUAACCUCAAGAGAAUUUUUUAUUCUAGUGCUAAGGAAAUAACUUUUUUGUGAUUAAACAUAACAUAUUUAUUCUAUUGCUCAUGCAUGAUGGCAUUACGUGUAUAUUUACUUUAAUCAAAUCUUACUAUAUGUGUUUUAUGAGAAUUUCUAGGAUCUAUCUUUUGUUUUCCUAUCAAGUCUUGUGACGAUUAACAUGGAAGCUCUAGUAGAAACGUCUUGUUAGAAUUUAUAGUAUUUAUCUUUUUUUAUAGUGUGAUAUGUAUUUAGUUGAAAACUAAACUUAAGAUAUAUAAACUCUUGAUACAACUCUUUUUUGACAUUGCAAAUCUACAUUUAUCUUUUAACUUUGAAUUAAAUUGUUGCAAUUUCUUCACAUGUUAAUUAGAAAUUCUGGUAUUCUUUAUCUUUUAUUCAAAAAUCAUUUUUUAUUAUAAAGAGUAUAGGUCCAGUAGUAUUGUUUUCCACAUAUGCUAAAAUUUGGCUUGCAUUCUGACACUAAACAUGUUCAAUUUGUUAUGUCAUACGAUUAUAUGUGUUGUAUUAUUUAUAUAUCAUAGAGUGCAUAAAUUUAAGUUGACAAUAUUGAUAUGACAUAAUGUUUCAGUAAAAACAUAUAAACUUGUUUAAAAUAAUAAUUAUUGAAUUUAUUAUCACGGAGUAUAGAUAUAAAGUGUUAUUGUUACAUCGUUUGCUAUGUGAACAUUUUUCAAUGUUUCAUAACUUCUAAAAUAAAUGUUAUCCAAAUUUAUACAUGUUUAUUUGAUAUACAUGGUGCAACAUUGCAUUUAGUUAUUUUAUUUAACGAUUAUUGAAUUAUGCAAUUUGGAAAUAUAUACAUGUACCAUACUUAUUGUUAAUAUUGAUAUUUUUAAUAGUAUAUAUUACUAUUUACAUGUCAAUUUUAGAUAUGUUUUGUUUAUCUUCAAUUCUGGCUAAGGAACAUACAAAAAUAAAGUUAAUACCUUGCAUUAUAUUUCACAAAGACAUAAAUGGAUAGGUUCAACACGAACAUAGAAUAUUAAUUUGCAUUAUUUUUCAUAAUGAUAAAGGUGGAGAAUUUAUAAUUAGGAGGCAUUUUAAAUUAUGUUCCAUAAGGGUAUAUUGGGUAGUUUAGAUACAAAGUUAGAAUAUUAUUUUUUAUUAUCUUUCACAAUGACAAAAGCAAGGUAAUUUAGACACAAUUUUAGGGGUUUAUUUAAAUUAUGUUUCAUAAUCGCCAACGUGGGUAAUUUAGAUGAAAAAUCAGGGAGUGAUUUUGAAUUAUUUUUUAUGAUGACAUACAUGGGUAAUUUAUAUACAAAUAUAGAGGGUUAUUUUGAAUUAUCUUUUGUAAUGCCACAAUUGGGUAAAUUAAAUGCAAAAUUAGGGGUUACUUUAUUGUAUUUUCAUAACGGCAGUAGUGGGUAAUGUUUUAUAAACUAUAAUAGAUGCAAUGGCUAUUAUCACUGAUGAUAUUAGAGUUUAUCAAAUGAAAGGCUAGAUGUUUUUUAUUAUUGUCAUAAUUUGGAGGAUUUAUCUUUCUACUAGCAUUUUGUUAUGUCUCUGUUCGGGUCUCUAAUUAGAAUUUAUAGGAUUUAUCUUUUCUAGUGUCUGGUGAGAAUUAACGAGUGUCUCUGUUGGGGCUUCUAAUUAGUAAUAACUAGGAGGAUUCCCCGCGCUUUGCUGCGGGUAUGAAAGAGAAAUAUAAAUAUGGUCUUACUGUAGUCUAUUAUGUCAUCUAUAUAUAGUUUUAGUAGUCAGUUUCAAAAGAGGAAGAGAGGAGAUCACGUGAGAAAAUAAUUGUAUGCAUGCAUGGUCAUGUGUAGGUAGCUGUAUCCACUAUUGGAACCAUUUGUGAGUGGGCUAAUUGCAUGAAGCAGCAGAAGAAGUGGAUGAUGAUGCGGCGCAAGAAAGUGCAAAAGAAUUAGCUUAGUGGAGUUUGUCUUUAUAGGAUAUAUAUAGAUAAGAUUGGUCACAGCAGGUAGUGAAUCAUUCAGGCGGGUUCAGAGUUUAUUAGCUAAGAAUAUGUCGUGCAAAAUAAUAGUGCUGAUUUUGCUUCAGAUUAGGAAUCUCCGUACUUCCAUAGGUCAUAAGAGCAAAGAAGGGGAAAUUCGUCAUGAACAUAGCUAUACUUUCUUACUUUUAUAUCCCAAGCAACACUCGUGCUUUUUUCUUUCUUUUUACUUAGGCCUUAUUUAGUUCACUCCAAAAAUCAUAAACUUUUUAAGAUUUCCCGUCACAUCGAAUCUUGCGGCACAUGCAUAGAGCAUUAAAUAUAGAUGGAAACAAAAACUAAUUGCACAAUUUGCCUAUAAAUUGCGAGACGAAUCUUUUAAUCUUAGUUACUUCAUGAUUGGACAACGUUUGUCAAAUAAAAACGAAAGUGCUACAGUAUCAAAAUCCAAAAACUUUUUGGAUCUAAACAAUGCCUUAGUUGCAUAUGCAUAAAGUAUAAUAUAAAAAAGGAUGACCAAUAAUUGUGUGCUAGAGAUCCCAUUUCUUCUUGAUGUGCUUUGCAUUGGUAGCAUAUCACAACACUGCACGGUAAAUUAUUUUUUGUCUAAUUGGCCUGAAAUUCUCGCAGGCUGUCAGAGAUGUGAAUGAUGAGCCGCAGGUUGAAAAUUUAAAGGAUAUUGGCUUGAUACUUGUAAAAAAAUGUGAUGGUUUACCUCUUGGGAUCAAAGUAAUGGGAGGUCUCCUGAGUCGGAAAAGGAUAACACGAACCAACUGGCAAAAGGUCUUAGAUGAUUCUCUAUGGUCAAUAUCACAAAUGCCUGAAGAGCUAAAUUAUGCAGUAUAUCUUAGCUAUGAAGAUCUGGACCCUUGUUUGAAGCCUUGCUUUUUGCACUACUCCCUCCUUCCUAAGGGCACACUGUUUUCUGUUGAUGACAUUGUUGGCAUGUGGAUUAGUGAAGGAUUUGUUUAUGGAACAUUACAUGAUGACCUAGAAGGAAUAGGAAGGGAAUACUAUGAUGAGUUAAUACAGCGAAACCUUAUUGAGCCAGAUACGAAGUAUGUUGAUCAAGAAGCUUGCAACAUGCAUGAUGUGGUCCGGUCAUUUGCUCAUAACUUGUGGGGAGAUGAAGCAAUCAUAGCUCACAAUAGUACAAUUGGUAUUGACAAACUUAAAUCACAGAAAUUUUUUCGAUUAUCUCUGGAAAGCAAAGGACCAGAACAACAUGAUUUGGAUUGGUGUUCUCUACAAAUACAAACAUCACUGAGAACACUAAUUUUAGUGGGUAAUAUAAAGAUUAAGCCAGGUGAUUCAUUUGUUUCUCUUUCAAGUCUCCGAACACUACAUUUGGACAGUGUAAAUAUUGAUUCAAUAGCAGAAUCUUUGUAUCAGCUGAAACAUUUGAGGUAUUUGGCAAUAGAAAACAGUAAUACAUCAAAGUUACCAGAGGACAUAGGCAAGUUGAAAUUCUUGCAGUACAUUAGCCUUGGUGGUUGUCAGAGUUUGACCAAGCUUCCCAGUAGCAUUGGACUGCUACAUGACUGGAGGUUUCUCAGUCUUCCCGGAACAAAUAUAAGUGUUGUACCAAGGGAUUUAUGUGGUCUAACUUCUUUGAGGAAAUUAUAUGGAUUUCCAGCCCACAUGGACUGUGAUCACUGUAGUUUGGAGGAACUAGGGCCUCUCUCCCAGCUGACAGAACUUUAUAUCAGUUUCUUGGAGAAUGUAGCUUCUUCCUCAUCUGCUAUACAGGCCAAACUUGGUGGAAAGAAGCGCCUAAGGUUUCUCUCACUGGGUUGCACCAGUAGAAAGGAAGAAGGGAUAUCUGAGAAAGCCAAGAGACAAAUCGAGGAGGUCUUUGAUGAGCUCUGCCCGCCACUUGGCUUAGAAAACCUUAACAUUGAAGGGUAUUUCGGUGAGCGGCUCCCAAGAUGGAUGAUGCCAGCACCAGUUACACCGCUUAGGAGCUUGAGGAAUAUAGUGAUGGAGAACUUGGCCUGUUGCACGGAGCUUCCUAGUGGCUUGAGUCAGCUCCCCUGCUUGGAGCUUCUGCAGAUUGUUCGUGCCCCAGCCAUCAAGUGUGUUGGGCAUGAAUGGCUACAACCAAACAAUCAAGUAGGUGUUGCGUUUCCCAGACUGCAGAAGCUGCGUUUUGAAGGAAUGGUUGAAUGGGAGGAAUGGGUGUGGGAGGAACAAGUGAUUGGCAUGCCUAUCUUGGAGGGGCUCACCCUGGAAAUGUGCAAGUUGAGGCGUAUGCCACCUGGCCUGGCCUUCCAUGCAAAGACUUUGAAGAAGUUAGGUAUAUAUGAUGUGAAGCAUCUAAGCUCUUUGGAGAACUUUGCUUCUGUUGUCCACCUCGAUGUGUUUAGAAACACUCACCUGGAGAGGAUCAGUAAUCUACCAAAACUGCAGAAGCUCGUCAUCGUCAUGUGCCCAAAGCUGAAGGUAGUGGACGGCAUUCCUGCACUCCAGAGACUCACUUUGGAGGAUUAUGGCAUGGACACAGUCCCUAGGUAUCUGCAGGAUGUAAACCCAAGGCAUUUGCAGCUGUAUUGUUCCAUAUCGCUGCUCACAUGCAUAGCAGCAGGGAAAUCCGGUCCCGAAUGGCACAAGUUUAGCGACAUCCAGCAAGUCAAAGCCUAUGCAAAUGAAGAAGGCUGUCCAAGGGAGUGGUAUGUGCUCUACACAAGGAACCCUUUCCGCUUCGAGACAAAUAUCAGCUACUCUGCUAUUGCCCAUGGUAAAUUCGAUGUGUCAUUAUUCACCUAAUAUCAGCUACUCAGCUACUCUGCUUCACCUAAUAUAGUAUUUUAUUCUCAAAUACACGGUUCCCUUCAGUCAAUUCGAUGUGUCAUUAUUCGCAGGCCGCAUGGCACGUGCUUGUUUUCCUUACUCCAAAACAUGUCCCGUUGAUGGUGAUCGGCCAUUAGAACAAGAACAACACAUGCAUGUUGACAAGAGUGUGCCACUCUGCUUACGGUUCAGGUAAAUUGGGUUGAUUGGUGGCUUCCAACCUGACGAAAAUCUCUCUCUCUCUCCUUGUGCAUGCCUGAUCAUCCGUAACACCAAAUCACUCACUCAUUGCAUGUUGCUUAACGUUUUAUCUAGUGUAACGUAUUUGGGCAACACGUGAAUGCAGGAACAAUGCGUACCGUCAUUUGACUUACUGGUUGCGUCAAGCCUGCCUGCACUGCUGUGAAACCGACAGGGUGGCUUCCACAACGGAUCAGUGGAUCGAAGCAGCGGGGGCUGCGGCAUACAGAUACUAUGAAAGAAAGAUCACGAGUGUAAUGUAAUAUGUGAAUAAGCAUUUGCUUGUUGCAGUUUAUGUGCUGCUUCUGGGCCAUAAACGUCUGAAGAACAGAAACGUUCCAUACCUGCACGGUUGUACGUACAAAACAAGACGUACUCUGUUUUCCAAGUUAAAUAGUCUGUACUCUACUUUCCUUGCAAUAACAUUUUGCAGUAUCAUUUAGCCAUUCCCUGCACAUGCAGAGUCCAACUCUUUUUCAGUGUUGUACACACAGCAAUGUUAGUAAGGCCUUGUUCAGUUGGCAAAAUUUUGGAAUUUCGGGUACUGUAGCACUUUCAUUUGUAUUUGACAAAAUAUUAUCCAAUUAUGGACUAACUAGACUCAAAAAAUUCGUCUCAUAAAUUAUAGGCAAAUUGUGUAAUUAGUUAUUGUUUUCAUCUAUAUUUAAUACUCCAGGCAUGUACCGCAAGAUCCUCCUCCAACAACACAUCACCGUUAAUUAGGCUUCUCGGAGGUGAACGUCAUGCGCGUCUUUGUUAAUGCCAUUUGCGCGCACUUGUGAUGUCCACUUCGUUAAUGGUCUCCACAAAACCCAAAACUCAAAAGAUUUGCAACUUCUGGGAAUCAAUCCCACAACAUGACAUUCAGGACUUCUUCAUCUCUAACACUACACUGCACACUCAAUUUGUGUCUAUAUUUAUUAUGCUAUUGUUUUAUAUUAAUAUUUCAUAAACUUAUAUUGGAUAUUUCAGCUAAUAAAUGGACUCAAGUGAAGAAGCCUUCAACUGUAAAGAUGUAAAUCUUCUCAAGUACUACAACUCUGUAUAAGAUGUAUCUCCAUCUUGGUUUAGUUGAAAAAUUCAAAAAAAAACUCAAAAUAUGUAAAUUUAUAAUAUUUGAGACUCUAAAUAACUUUAAAUAAAACAUGUAGCUCAUGUCGGCCACUAUAACUUUGGUAUUAACUAUGUGAACAUUUGUGAUCGUUUAACAAUUCCAAAUUUUGGAUUUUAGAGCCUAUAAGUUUUGAACACACAUUUUUUACUCUGAACCACUUCAAAUAAAAAUUUGUGACCUACAAAAUUGUAGAUUGGAUUGAGAACUAUAACAUUCAUAUAUACUAUGUCAACAUUUGAGGUUGUUUGAUAAUUUGAAAUUUGAAAUUUAAAAAUUUGUGAACUUAAACCAAUAUUUUAAGACACUAAAUAGUUUCAAUUAAAAAACAUAUGAACCAUACAGUUGUAGAUCCUAUCAAGAACUACAAGUUUGAUAACAAGUUUAUCUUCACCAAGUUUAUAUGAAGCCAGCAUCCUAGCUUCCUUGAUUGAAUCAGUGGACCGAAGCGGAGGCGUAUAAAUAUUAUGAGACUCAGGCCUUGUUUAUUUCCUCCAAAAAACCUAAAAUUUUUUAAGAUUCUCUAUCGCAUCGAAUUUGUAAACGCAUGCAUGAAGUAUUAAAUAUAGAAGAAAUUAAAAACUAAUUGUACAGUUUAUCUAUAAUUUGCGAGAUAAAUCUUUUAAGCCUAGUUAGUCCAUGAUUAGACAAUAUUUAUCAAAUACAAAUGAAAAUGCUAUAGUGUUCAAAAAAAAAUUUGUUGAGGAACUAAACACGGCCUCAGCAUAGAUGUCUUGCUGACCAAAAACUUUUCAAGAUUCCCCGUCACACCAAAUCUUACGGCAUAUGCAUGAAUCAUUAAAUAUAGUCAAAAACAAAAACUAAUUAUACAGUUUAUUUGUAAAUCGCGAGAUAAACUUUUUAAGUCUAGUUAGUCCAUGAUUGGACAAUAUUUACCAAAUAAAAACGAAAGUGCUACAAAACCAAAAAAAUUUAGGCACUAAACAAGGCCUGACUGUUAGAACACCCAUGGUCACUUGGUUCUGUAGUUUGACGAAGGCUGCCUGCACUGCCGUGAAGGCGACGGCAUCGAUUCCCCAUCAGAUCAGUGGGCAGAAGCAGCAGUGUAUUCUGGGUGUACACAGAUUAUUAUGCAUGCAUUUUGGGAAUUAUCGUUGUUCUGCAUCUGUACCUUGUGCUCGUAGGAGCACAAAACAGAGCUUGUUCUGUUUUCAGACAUUGUUCACUCUGCUUUCUUGAUGCUCCUCAAGUUGCUGUACCCAAGCCAAACUAGCAUACGAAUUAGCGGUCUCAUCCCAGCCAUCAAUCAAAUGCCCAUCGCCCACUUAGCAAGUCUUCCUGUUUGCUACCAACGGGGGCUUCACAUCUACCGUCGGUAUUAUUAUUUCCUCAUUCAAUCUCCUCUGUUAAACACGUCAAAAUUCCCUUAUAUAUAGCCGCAAAGAAAUGGACGAAUAUUGGUGUCUUUUAUGACGAGAGCUGGUUGUAACAUCCAUUAUUGAGAGCAGUGGAAGCAAGUUCGGACUGAACUGCAGCAGCAAUUUACAAGCCCGUUUUGAUCGCGUGUGUUGGAAUGGAACCGCUCGUGCCCAGGCUCUGGAUGGAUGGUUUUCGGCUUCCCUGUGUCUCCCUCUUGCACGCUGGCUGCCUGCUGCUCCCUGCUACCAUCAUCUCCUGACAAUUUUAUAUGUCUCAUCCGUUGCUCAUUUCCAACCAUCUCGUGACUCAAACAUCUACUUUCAUCUACGUUCCAGUGUUAGAUGGCGACGACCCGAAGUACUAUAUGCCCCUUACUUUAUCCUUCUACGUUUUAUAUCCUCACCACACCAACUUGGCAUAAGUUGGCCAAAUGUCAUACAUCAUUACAUUAUUUAAUUUACACAGGAUAGACAUUGACCAAGGCUAGAGCCUCGCAUAGUCAAGACAGGGGUCACCUUCAUCCAACCAACACGCUGAGUCUGAUUUGUCGUGACCAUUUUAGAAUAUAUAAUCCCAAAACAUCUGAUUCCACUACUAAAGGUGAUGAUUCUUAUAAUAUAUUUUUAUAAAAAAAAAAUAAAAAAUGCAGAAAGUGGAAUGCACAAAAUAUUGUUUCCACAAAGACUACAAAAAUAGAUUGCACAAUCGUCUUAGUGCGUGUUUGGAUUCCACCACUAAACGAACGAAGCUGCCAGGCACUUUCCUUUCUCACCUUGCGCUGUCACCACACGACCCACUCCAACCACCAUCUCCUUCCCUGAAUCAUCACCGUUUUCCUUCCCAGCUCAAGCAGCCAAGCAGAAGACACCAACCAGCUACUGCGACUCUUGCGGACAACCUAAAUCCAUCUUGCUUCUCAUCCUUUUCAUCACAAUCCAGCAGUAGCAUCUGGUUGGUCAGGUCGGCGAUGUCCAUGCCGAUUCCUGCCUAGCCAUUGACCAAUAAUACAUCCUGUUGUUGCACGACCAAGAAAGAACAACACUGGCAACGCCUCUCCGCUUCCGUCCACUGCUCAGCUCAUCGGACUCAGGUUUGUUUCCUUAACCGUUACGUUUCUGCAGUGGCUUAUGCUUAGCAAGAUCUGCCCAUAUAGCUACUGCCCCCAGUGAUGUAGUUGUUAUGAUUCGGCACAUAAAGUUGCCACUGUCAUGUAGUUAUAUCAAUGAACGAGAAGUCAGUAGUAGUGCCACGAUGACUGAAUAUAUAGAUGGAAGAUGAUUGAAUCUUUUGCUGUACAAAAUAAAAAUGCCAUGUUGAAAUUAACAUCUGUUCUGAUUUUGUUAUAGAAAAAAAACAAAGUUCUCAAUCAUGGCCGGUGUACUAGAUGCUUUGGCGUCCUACAUCCAAAACAUGCUCCUGCAGAUGGCGGCAGAAGAGGUGCAUAUGUUGCUUGGGGUGUCCGGUGAGAUUGAUAACAUGGACAUCAAGCUUCGGGAUCUGAAGAACAUCCUUGCUGAUGCUGAUAGGAGGAACAUCACUGACAAAAGUGUCCAAGCAUGGGGGAUAGAGCUAAGGAAUGCUAUGUAUGAUGCCACUGACAUCCUAGACCUUUGCCAGCUCAAGGCCAUGGAGCGAGGCAAAAGGCAAGAUGUUGGAUGCUUCAACCCGUUGCUCUUCUGCAUGCGGAAUCCCCUACAUGCCCACGACAUUGGAAGCCGCAUCAAGAACCUUAACAAGAAGCUAGACGAUAUCAAGGCACGUGGUGCAUCAUUCAACUUCCUGAACCUUAGUACUUAUGAGGAUCAUGGAAGAAACAUGGUAUCAUAUGGUUCAGCUACCCGUGAGACAUCAGCGGGGCUUGUUGAGUCUGGUUUGGUUGGUGAGAAGAUCGAAGAGGACACAACAAAUCUAGUGGAGAUGCUAACAAAGAAGUAUUCUACCAACGACAACAAUUCAAACAAAAUAAUGGUUUUCUCUAUUGUGGGAGCUGGUGGGAUUGGUAAAACCACCCUUGCUCAAAAGAUCUUCAACAAUGAAGUCAUAAAGGAUGAGUUCAAAAAGAAAAUAUGGUUGAGUGUCAACCAAGGCUUUGAUGAUAUUGAAAUGUUAAGGAGGGUUAUUAUCGAAGCUGGUGGAAACCACCAUGAUUGUGGAAAUGCAAAGGUGUCCUUAGAACACAAUCUAAUAGAAGCUUUGAAGGGACAGAAAACCUUAUUAAUAAUGGAUGAUGUCUGGGACAGCCGUAUAUGGGAAGCCGUGCUUAGAACUCCCUUUGUCAAUGCCAUGCUAGCUGAAGGUAGCCGUGUGCUGGUCACCACAAGGCAUGACACAGUGGCACGUCAGAUGAAGGCGGAGGAGCCCUACCAUCGUAUUGACAGACUUGGGCUUGAAGAUGCAUGGAUGCUGCUCAAGAAGCAGGUACAAGUUAAUCAAUACAUUUAUUACUUUUCAUUAAUCAUGCAUUAUGUUUUCCAGCUGCAUCACUUUAGUUUUGCUUCUAUCUUAGUAGUGGGAACUAGAUUCCCUGUCUUGGCAGCAACUUCUAUUUUUCUUCUUUGUUUCAACCAUGUAGUUCUGUGGUGGUGACCUUCGAAAUAUAAGAUAAAGAAACAAAAUGACAUACUUCCUUGCGUUAGCAUUGUAAUAUCUUGCAUAUGCAGUCAUGUAGACUCCACAUAGUGCAGGUAUUCACUUUUUUUGUUAAAGCAAUUCAAAAUUGGACAUUGUAUUACACUCCCUCCUUUUUUUUUAAAAGAACUUGAGAUCUGUAGGUUCGAUUGGAUCUGUAAUUGGCUGUAAUGUAGGCAAUAUGAAAUGGCGAAUUAGUAACUAAUUUAAAUUCACAAACUAAGGAAACCAUAAUAAGUAUGUUUAUCACUAUUCUUUUUAGAGUAAAAUAAAAAAA
Molecule: long non-coding RNA, 52503 nt
Filed under: Sorghum bicolor (sorghum)
Lineage: Eukaryota; Viridiplantae; Streptophyta; Magnoliopsida; Poales; Poaceae
Description: long non-coding RNA (SBIC_LNC007675)
Source: RNAcentral